This 76631-nucleotide long non-coding RNA is filed under the name Ananas comosus (pineapple). RNAcentral describes it as "long non-coding RNA (ACOM_LNC023612)". Lineage: Eukaryota; Viridiplantae; Streptophyta; Magnoliopsida; Poales; Bromeliaceae. The record is from RNAcentral.
CUCCCUCUCCCUCUCAACCGGUUGCAAGAAAAGGGGAACGAAAAGAAGAAAAGAGAAGGAAAAAGAAAAGAGAAGAAAGGAAAAGAAGAAAAUGAUGGAGAAGAAGAAGCUUACCUCCAUCUUCAUCUUCCUCAUGCUUGGAGGAGCUUGAGAGGUAAACCAUUUGUCUCCUCUCAUGGUGGGAUUAGAGUUAGGGUUUGGUUUUUAAACCCUAAUACUUGGAGAUUUGGAGCUUCUAAUGUGUUUAGAACCAUGUAGAGACCAAGAACACAUGAAAUCCAUAAUGUUCUUCAAGGUGCUCUAAUGGUGGAUUUCUAGGGUUUGUUCUAAACACCCUAGAAAUGGUUUGAAUGCUCCUAACUGAGCUUCUAGAUGAUAAAUAAGCUCUCUUUUGCUUGUUUUAUAGAUCAAAUCCGGAGUAUUGAGCAUAUGUCAUAUUAGGGCAUCCCAAAGAGGGGUUUUGCUCAUGUGGGGUUUUGAUCUAUUUUGACCCCUUGGAAACCUAAUUGGGGACGUAACAAACGCGUUGGCGAAGUCGGUUUAACCAUUCGUCGAGUGUACGCGAAGUUAUUGACAAAAUAGUGUUUUGUUGUACAGAUGGCCGCAACACGCGGAAUAGACGCCAAAAAUCGUGAGAUCGGAACCGGAGUACCUUGGAGUCGAGGAAUAAGCACCAGAAAAGACGGAACGCGAUUUGGAGGUCAUUUGGAAGUCGCGCAAGAGUUCGGGCCAAAGGAGGCAACUGUUGCCGCGGGAGGCCGAUUGCAAGUGACUACAAGCAAUCGGAGCGCACGUUAAGGUGGGUUAUGUUUACCGAAGCGACUAGGUCACCCUUAUGUCUAAGUAAAGUGAAUUCAUGUUGAUGCAUAUAAAUAGCGCAAGAUGGAUGCAUUGAUUAAUGCUAGAGUAUACUCAAUAAGCAUGAUAUAGAAAUAAUAAAUGCAAGCAUGUGGUUAAUGCUAAGAAUAAAGAUGAUGACGUGAUAAAAAUGCUAAGUCCAUGUAUGAUAAGCACGUGAUAGGGAUGCUAAAAUAAGAAUGCUAAGUAUAGGACAUAUCAUGUGAUGCUAGUGGCAUAUAUAUAUUAGUUGACAUUUGCAUGUGAACAUGACAUAAGGAUGUUAACUAAAUGCAUGGAAUAAUUUUAGUCAAAGGACAUGUAUAUGUGGACAUAAAAUACAUAUAGAUCGAGUGGCAUCGAACCUAGAGUCGUGAACCUAGGUUAAACAAGUAUGAAUGUGAACCUAAUGUUAGUAAACAUAGGUUGAACAAGAGAAUCAACGAACCGAGUGUCGAUAAACAUAGGUUAAAUAAGAAUGGUAUUAAACCUAGUGCUAAAGAACCUAGAAUCACAUGAACCUAGGUAAGCAAUGGUAAUGAACCUAGAGUUAAUUAAUCUAGGCCAAGAGUAUAGAAGUAAGGAACCUAAAGUAUUAACUUAGGUUCACUAAAGGCUUGGACCUAGAUAGGUCAACUCCUUAGGGUAAGACCAACCCUCGAGUUAUGUGAAAUGGAUUCCGGAAUCCCGAGGCUAAAAGAAUAUGCCGAGCGUGGCUAAAGGAUUACACCCAGAGUGGUGUUGGGUGUGUGCGACGAUUUCGCCGCCCAGGGCUAACCAUUGUCGUGGCGUGUGCGACGAUUUCGCCGCCGGAUGGUUGAGCCAGUUGAGGAUCGUACCGCCGGAUGACUCGAACCACUGCCGUGGCGUGUGCGAUGAUUUCGCCGCCGGGUGGCUGAGUCAUGACCUAGGCCAUUGUUGGGUGAGGUGCGAUUCGUUCGCCGCCAGACGGCUAGAUUAGGAGGGCGGGGGGGCUGACUGAGCAACCAGAGCGCGGAUUAUCCGCAUUUGAUUGACUCAAGACCGAGUCGGGUUGCAUAGAUGACUAAGGUAGAGAUAACCUUAGAUAUGAGUUGUCAAGGACUAUGGCAAAGAAUAAGAAUGCUAGCAAUAAUUAAGAAUGUUAAUGAAUAAAGAAUCGCCAACGGGCGUAGUGUAAAGAAUGAUAAGGAAUAAAGAGUAAAGAAUCGCCAAUGAGCGUAAUGUAAGAAAGGAUAAUGAAAUAACAAAGUGUAAAGAAUGACUUCGAGUAGAAUUAAAAUAAUCUACUUGCAUAAGUACAGGUGUUGUAUAUUGCAUUUUGGGAGGCAGGACAUCUUAGUUCAAUAUCUGUUAUAUAUCUGUUAUAUGUUAUUGGACUAACUUGUUACAGGGCCUCAUUAGACAUAUCGACCGAGUUUUUCCCUUAGGUGGCCGUACCCACUGGGAACCAUGGAGUUGGUUCUCACCCCACGUUAUUUUGGGGUGUUUACAGGUACUCACGUGAGCGGCGCGGCGGUGCGAGACAAGGGCGUAGCUCCGUAGAUAGCGUCCUACCCCAGAGACCGAGAUAGCAGUACCCGAGUUGGUGGUCUAGCUUGGGAGGUUUAAAGACAAGAACAAAUUUAUAUCAUAAACUUGUAAUAGAUUGUAAUAAACAUGUUGUAAUUUGGAAGUUAAAUGUAAACAGAAACUGUGAUGUAAAAUAUGAAUGCAAAAUGAAUGCUUGUAAUAGCAAGUAGUUAUGUAUUUGAUACUUCCUUAUGCAAUCUGGAUUGAUAUCUGUUCCUAGUUGGAACAUUCGUUGAUCGUUUGGAUUGCGACGCCUUGAAUGUAUAGGGGAGACUCUGUCCGCGUUACAGGGGAAUCCCCUGUCCAUUCGGCGGUCUGUCGUCGGCGCCACGAUCCGGUCCAAAUUGGCGGUUGAUCGCGGGGCGUGACACAUGAUAACUAGGAUAUUUGGAUAGACAAGUUACCAAUGUAAAUAAUAUGUUUAGACUCACAUCAAUUUCAUAUUAUUGUAUAAUCUAGUUGAUACUAGCAUUUUACAUUGUACAUAGAUUCCGACCUAUAGGUCGGCAGUGGACUUUCCAUGUUUGAGACACGACGAUUGAGAACUUUUGGACGGUGGAUUAUGCUUGCUUGCCAUUGUGCUCAUUCGCAUAUGCUUGUGAGGGUCGCUCUCCACAAGCCGGUACUCUCUAUGCGAUAGAUUGCUCGCCCGUGCCGGAUUGGAUGCUGAAGUGGAUUGCCGUGGGGAGUGUAUUCUACCACGAGGUCAUUAGGCGCGGCGCAAGCCGGACUACCUUAUGUAGGUCACUAUGAAUUGAAUAAAGAUACUAAAUGGUAUUGAUAUAAUUGUCACUAGUAGAUAGUGUGCAUUUAUAUGAUGACAUGACAUGUUUACUUAUGUAAAGUAGUUACUUUGCCGGUUGCCAAAUAGUUGUUGCCUCUGGGAUUGUAGUUGCAUGAUAAUUGUUUAUUAUUAUUGUUGAUACCAAAAAAUUAACACGUCGACCUAACCCACGUAUGAGCCAAAGAAAUAAGGACACGUGGUACACCAGAAGUCGGCAAUAAGAUGCCUAAAGGUCAAGAGCGUUUAGGCGGGAACGGUUGAUAAGUGGGGCAUAACUUCCAUAAGAAGUAGGGCGUAACUUCCAUGAUCAUGGCUACACCACUUCCUCCACUACUUUAACCAACCAAUAAUGUGGGCUGAUAAGAUAUUAUAAAUAGUAACUUUGAAGCCUGUAAAAGGGGUCUUUCUCUCUUCUGAACGAGAAGACCACCAUAUUUUCAAUACUUUCAUUUCCUGCAUUUAUCGUUUUCUAGGUGUAAUCUACAUGUAAUCUUUUUUACUUGCAUUUACUGCUUUCCUAGGAGUAGUUUUUAAGUUAGAUCUCUGAAGUCUGUAUGCCCCACGAGCACACUCUGUUAUAAUCUAGAUUUUCAGAAUAUGCCCUUCGGGCACACUCUGUUUUAUAUGAGUUCCCAAUUUCAUUUUAAUAUAUAAAGGCAUUUGGCUCUUUAAGCCGACCAAUCACUGUGUUUUCAUCCAUUCGACUCUUCAGCCGACCCAAAUUUCAGUGUUUUUCGUACAUUCGGCUCAUCCAACCAAACCGAAUUUGUAUUAAAGGUUUUCGAACUCGGCUGAUCCGAUCUCUCAUCAGUCGAAUCGCUUGAUCUAGUCGAAGGGUGCAAACUUUAAGGGUCACAUUUCGAAGCCGUUUUUCAUCCCUACACGUUCUUCGAGGAGGAUCUUUGACCGGGUGGAGGAUCGGGGAAUUGGGCUCCUAAUAAUUUUUUGCACGCCCGGUGGGACAACAAUUUAGGUAAAUUUAUAUUUUUAUUAAAAUUAUGGUUGAUGAUAACGCCAUGAAUUUAAACAAUAGGGUCGUUCCUAGAAAUUACGGGAGCGAUCAACCCAGCAAUUUGGAUAGUGCUGGAGAACGACAAGCGGUCUUACCUGUCGAAGGUGAGACUAGUGGUCAAUCUGACCAACAAGAGCCUAGUUUGGCUCAAGCACUUGGACAAAUGACACGGGUCCUACAAGUAUUGGACCGAAAUAGUCAAAGAAGCACUGCAUGGUUAGAUGCAGUCUUGGCCGCAAUCAUGGCCUCCAACGAGAAUAUUGCCCGAAUAGGAUAAUUAUUAACUCGUAAUGAGCAACCUAUAACAGGCUUAUAAGGGCCUGUAAUGACACUGGUGUUACAAAAUCCUGUAACACCAGCAAAUGGUUAGCUCCAUUACCAGGGGGCACCAUUUCAGGCGGCUUACAGACCGGCUGUUGUUAAUCCCGGUCAGCAGCCAGAGAUAGCUUGGAGAUUACCACCUCCUUCGCCAGUGGCAGCAUAUCAGCCCCAAAAUGUAGGGCUAGAGCUAGAGGGUAGGCUUCGAAUAUGCAAGGAGUUAACCUUGUUAUACCGAAUUUCGGUCUAUCGCAAGUACCGAAUGUAGUACAAGCACAGGUUCCUUUGCAGGGGAACAAUAAUGAAAUAUACGCACAAAUUGAAGAAGCAAUCCGAAAUACUAUCGGAGUUGGCACAAGACCGGCAAUGCGGCUUGUGUUUAGAUCAUAGUUAGUUAAUUCGGACAAUUCGAUGCGGGUAUGAUUCGGAUAAAAUUUGUUUGCUAAUUUUUAAAUUCGUUAAAAAAUAUGGCUAAAAAAUGGAUUCGUCAAUUAUUUGGAUACGUGAUUUAUACGGAAAUUAUACGUUCAUCAAUUAAAAAUUCGGGAUAAAAAAUUCGGCUAUUAAAUUAAGUUUUUUUUUUCUCUCAAGAUUUAUGUUAUUAGCAUAAAUACUCAUAUUUCUUAAGAAUAUAAGAAUAAAUAGCUACAAAAUUAAGUUAAUUACGUAAAAAAAUUGAAAAGAGUUUUUUUUUCUGUAAUUAAAUAAAGAGUUUUUUUUUUCUGUAAUUAACUUAAUUAACUUAAUUUGAAAAGCGCCCGUACCGAAUUAAUUAAUUCGGUACAGGCACUCGAGGCGCUCGAGGCGCUCGAAGCGCGCGUGGGCCUCGUGCCCCGGCCUCGCGGGCGCGCGCGGGCCUCGCAGGAGCGCGAGCAGCCCGGGAACGCACGCAGGCCGCAUUUUUUUGGCUCCGAAUAAUUCGGCCCGCGUAUAAUACGCGAAUAAGUCUUUUUUUACCAAGAAAACACAUUUUUUUCUGAAUUUUUGGGAAAAAUAUGAAUUCGGUCGUUUAAUUCGUUUAUUUAAAAAUUCGAGAAUAAUUCAUGAAUAAUUUGCAAAUUUACUAACAUAGGUUUAGAUCUCCUUAUCCCGCGAACAUCGACGUAGAGCAUCCGUAUCCGGCAAACUGGAAAAAGCCGAAGUUCGACAAGUUCUCGGGCGAUGAGACCGAGAAUAUGGUCGAGCAUAUAGCCUGGUUCACGGCCUAAUGUAGAGAAGCGGCCGCUGACUCAUUUUUGAAACUUCGAUUAUUUAACAUAUCAUUAACUAAAACGGCGUUUACUUGGUAUACAAGUUUAUUAGCCAAUGCCAUCCAAGAUUGGGACGAAUUGGAAAGAAAAUUUCAUGAACAAUUCUAUAAGUCGGAGCGACAAUUAUCGGUUGCCAACUUGGCUUUAUACCGACAAAAGUCAGGUGAAACGGUAGAAGAGUAUUUGAACCGUUUCAAAAUAGCCAAGACCCGGUGCUUUGUGAGAAUGCCGGAAUUAGUGUUCGCCAAAAUAGCGUUAAAUGGUCUACAUUUUAAGAUAAAAGACCAUUUUGAAAAUAAGUAUUUUUCUAACCUAUUUGAUCUAGGUGUUCAAGUUGCCCAAUAUGAGCAAUUUCGAAAGGAAAGUGAGGACAAUCGGCUGCAAUGGAGCCAAUAUAAAAAGCAAAGGAAAGGUAAAGAGAAAUUCUUGAUAGAAGAACAGUCGGUUCAAGAAGAGCCGAGCCAAUUGAGUGAAAGUAAAGAAUCGGCUGAUGAAGUUGAGGUACAUUUUGCUGGUAAAGAGCCACUUUCUUCAAAGAGAAAUCCUUGAUAGAAGAACAGAUGGUUCAAGAAGAGCCGAGCAAAUAGAGUAAAAGCAAAGAAUCGGUUUAUGAAGCCGAGGCAUAUACGGCUAGGAUGGUAAAGAGUCGCUUCCUUUAAGCCGACCAAGAGUAGCGAAAUUAAGAUCGGGUCAUGGCUGUGUCAUUGAGUCGUUGAUUUGGCACCAAUAGUCAUUCGAACGUUCAUUCGAGAGACUAUUGGGAGGGCAUUGUUGAUACAAAAAAAUUAACACACCGAUAUAACCCAUGUAUGAGCCAAAGAAAUAAGGACACGUGGUACAUCAGGAGUCAGCAAUAAGACGCCUGAAGAUCAAGAGCGUUUAGGCGGGAAUGGUUGAGAAAUGGGGCAUUACUUUCAUGAUCAUGGCUACACCACUUCCCCCACUACUUUAACCAACCAAUAAUGUGGGUUGAUAAGAUAUUAUAAAUAGUAACUUUGAAGCCUGUAAAAGGGGUCUUUCUCUCCCCUGAACGAGAAGACUACAACAUUUUCAAUAUUUUUCUUUCCUGUAUUUAUUAUUUUCUAGGAGUAAUCUACAGGUAAUCAUUUUUACCCGCAUUUACUGCUUUCCUAGGAGUAGUCUUUAAGUUAGAUCUCUGGAGUCUAUAUGCCCCACGGGCACACUCCGUUGUAAUCUAGAUUUUCAGAGUCUGUAUGCCCUUCGGGCAUACUCUAUUUUGUAUGAGUUCCCAAUUUUAUUUUAAUAUAUAAAGGCAUUUGGCUCUUUAAGCCAACCAAUCACUGUGUUUUCAUCCAUUUGGCUCUUCAGCCGACCCAAAUUUCAGUGUUUUUCGAACAUUCGGCUCAUCCAGCCGAAUCGAAUUUGUAUUAAAGGUUUUCGAACUCAGCUGAUCCAAUCCCCUCAUCAGCCGAAUCGCUUGAUCCAGUCGAAGGGCGCAACUUCGAGGGUCACUUUUCGAAGCCGUUUUUCAUCCCUACACGUUCUUCGAAGAGGAUCUUUGACCGGAUCAAGAAUCGGGGAAUUCGGCUCCUAACAAUUAUCAUUGUUAUUUCCAUCAUGUAGUAGUUGUACUUACUUUCCUUUUUACUUAUUAUGAACCUAGUGGUGUAAUUUGCUGAGAUUGGCGGCUUAUCCACUAGAAACUAUUGUUCAAUAGUUCUCACACCCUCUUUGUUGUUGCUUUUAUAGAGCGAUCCAUUACGGGAGAGACUAGGGAUUGCGGCAAAGGAGUCGCGUCUAGCUAGACGUACCUUGGAGUUCUGCUAGGUGAUCAUCUCGCUGUGUUUGAGUUACUGACGAGGAUGAUGUUCUACCUGUGUAUAGAGAAGACUACUACUUGUAUAUGUAGUUGUUUUGGUGACCCUGAGAUGUAUAUUUGUGAUUAGAGAGUUGUACUUUAUCAUUGUUACCUUUGUUUUCUGAUUACUUUGGUGAAGUUGUACUUGUUUUACUCUAAUUUUUAGUACACUUUGUACAUUCUAUGCUUUGAUACUAUGUUAGAUUUUUGUUGAUUGGUAUUUUCUAGCAUAGUUCUAGUAGACGCCUUGUAUACUGUAGGUAUAUGGCGGGUCUGCCCAUGUUUCGGGUAUGCUUCCGCUGACACCGGGGCAUGAAACGUCGGCGGAUGCCUACUGCUCGACUGCCCUCCAUCAUCUGGAGUCGGGCGCUUCCUAUCCUGACUCCGCCUCGGCACCUGAGCCCGCUCACAAACCGAUACAUCUCCUCUCUCCAUCCACAACGCCUGCUCAAUCGACGCAUCCAAAGUUCUCAACCUCUGCGCCUACACCAACCGGAAGAUCUCUGGCCUCAAGCCCUCUUCAUACAGAUACACUUUGUGGGCUUCAUCCCUGGCUACAAACGGUACACAGUUCAGAAGCUGAGUAAACCACGAGUGUACUCCUGAACUGAUCGCUCCCCCUGUUGUAGCUUCUUCAGGUCCUCCUCGAGUUUUUGCUUUACACUGUUUGGAAAAUAGGCCCCGUACAGCAAUCCACAAAACUUGUCCCACUUCAUUUGUAGCACAACCAGCCCUCGAGUCUACCUUAUUCUCCUCCACCAGGAGUGCGUAUCACCUGCCAAACAGUGCACUCCCGGGUGUACCUGCUCCCGCUCUGGUACGAACAAGUCCUCGAAUAACUUUCUCAUCGCACUCACCCAGCCCUCUACAACCCAGGGCUCCGUGCAAUUGCAAUCAAAGCGCGGUAAAUCAAACCGACGAAAACGAGCCAGCAUCUCCAGAGAAUGUAACUAGCGCCAUAAGAACUGUCACUGAUGGGGGUACAGCUGUGGCUGGUACGGCCACUGGAGUAGUCGGCGGCGGUGCCGGCUGCUCUGGUGCUCUAUGCGCUGUGUUCGGCGGUGGAGUAAAUGUUUCACACAUCCUCUGUAAUAGGGCCCCCUAUUGCCUGGUCGCCUCAGUCAAGACAGCUAACUGCUCUAUCAGAUCAGAGGGUGCACUCGGCCCUGCUUGCUCAGGCAUCUCAGAUGGCGCGACACGAUCCCGUGUCGACGGUCGACCUCGGCGUCGAUACAUGAUUACCUGAAAUUAAAACAAGGGUCAGAUACAAAACACAAUCACUCUCGACCCAAUCAAGCGAAAGUCUAGAAGGUCACCCCUAUUUCUCCUCAAAAUUAUGCUAUCUGCAGCCAACAUAUUUCUCUUGACAAAAACAGACACUCCUUCAGUCACUCACUUCACUCUAGGAGGAGUUAAAAUAAUUUAAUCGCUGACUUUCGUAAUAAAUCAAGCCUCUCACCUCUUGCCUUCCUAAGAUUUUCCAAACUUAAGGUUUUCUACGUCCCAACGACCUAAUACUAAGCUCUGAUACUAACUUAAUCUCUCACACCCCGGAUUACCAUGUUUUUUCGAGCAAACCAGAAGACCCGCCGUAUACAUAGAAAUUUUUUCUGUAUACGAAACGAUAGCUGUACCUAUAAAUAAAGCCAAGCUACAACCAAGAGAUAAGAGUUGCUAAACUAAAAAUAUAUAAGUAUAAAACCUCAAGAGGUUCCAGUACAUACAAAAAUCUACAACCCAACUCGCUCCAGCGAGUACCACGACAACAUCACCAUAUGUAUAAAGAAAGCCCAAAACUACCUCUGGAUAGGUGCUCCUCUAGCUAAACUAACAGAGGGAUGGCCCUAACUCGCAACUCCUCUGCCACGAUCAGAAACAGCGUCAGUAGUAGCCACGAAUGAAGGCUCUGCAAAAAAGGUCAACAACUGGGUGUGAGAACUACUACAAAAUAGAGUAGUCCUCAGUGGGUACCGUCAUCGAUCUCAACGGCUCACCUACUGAGUCUACAGAAAAGUGCGUAAGAGAUAGUAAGAAAAGCUGAAAACCCAGCAGGCUAACCAAUACUGGCUAUCUGUAGAUGUAACAAAAAUGCAACCUCUGACCCAAACUUACUAGGGACUGUGAACGCACCUAUCCCACCUAUCGAAACUACACCGCGUACCACCUCGGGGGCUACCGGUGGAGAGCAAAGUCCUAACCGAACAUUACAACAUCAAUGCAAAAGCAUGUAGCCAAACUCCGGAGCGGCACUCGUGGGCGCGACCCAACCGAGUAUACAAGCAUGUCUCUAUUAAGCUCAAUCAAGCUCUCACAGGCUAUAAUCAAUGCAAAUUGGUCUAACUGUCUAACAACCAAAUCUCACGUGCCCUUAGCACAAUCUGAGGCAAAACACAGAAAUCUGGUUCCACUGUCAACCGCGACGGCACCCGACAGUCCUAAACAAUCUACACACUACUGUAAAAUAAACUCGGCAUCCCAGCACGAGUGUAAACUCAUCCUAUACUAGCUCUUAAAGCUAAAUCUGAUAAUUUUCUGAAAGUGACAGUGUAGAACUUAUAUAUUUUCUCCCAAGUCAAUUCUAAGUCCAACAUGGAAAAUUAUAAUUCUAUCUUAACUCCAAAUUCAGAUUUUAUACUCUAAUCCCUGAAUUCGAGUACUAGCAAGGAAAUAAAGCAAUGAUACAUGUCGACAAUGCUAAAACUUAAGAGGAAUUCUGACGAUUUCGGUAAACAUUAACCCACCUCGAAACGCUAGUCUAACUAUGGCGAGAAGUCCUAAGAAGGGGAAACACGUGCUCACCCGGUCUCCAACGACGCAACCGCGACACCCACGUGCUCGAACAACCCUCCGGAUCGAUCCACGACCUAGACAACGCACGAAUCCACCAGUUAGAGAGAAAGGAAAAGGAGAAGAAGAACCAGCUCCUAAGCUCUCUCUGUCAAUAUAUAGGCUGGGAAAAACAUACGGUUGAUCGACACAUCAAACAACCAAAAUGCCCUCUACCUAUUCAAAAAUCCAGCUGGAGUACCGGUAUCCAAUUUGGUUACCGGUACUCGGCCUCUCAACCCGCAAGCUCGCAUAUAGGAUACCGGUACUGGCUCGAUGCCGUACCAGUACUCAAAAUCAGAUUGACGCAACCCGAGAGCAUUCUGUUAUGGAAUUAUAGUAGGGUACCGGUACUCUCCUGCCUGGUAUAUGUACUCAUCACUAAUAUCCUGCACUUUGCGGAUUUCAGCGUCAGAACUCCACUCUCGCCUCGCGUCGAGUCCAUUUUGCGACCAAUUCGCACCAAAAUGAUUUCGACUUGUCCCGACACUCUCCAGAUGUGUCGAUAAGCCCCAGAUGCUGAAAUCUCACUAGCAACCAAACACUAGGGAUACUACAAGUUUUAAACAAUUAUAGAUCCUAUUUGUUUUAGGCAUCUCCAAUACUUAGAUCUUACAAUCCCUCAAGUUUCUAGAAUUAAACCCUUUUAGGAUAUCAGAAUAGCAAGAUAAAUUGUAACUUUAAUAGCACACUUCAUAAUAUACAUAUUGAUCAUAAACAGUAAAAUGUCAUAGUUGAUCUUGUAAAAAAGGGUUUGUUGGGUGGUUGGCAUAAUAUCACGAUCUAAAGAGUAGAAUUGAUAAAUAAUAAUAAUAAUAAUAAUAAUAAUAAUAUAUUUUUUUGAACGGAUUAGACGGAUUUGAGAUUUUCAAGAAAUAUGGCAAAUCAAGUUUUUAUUCUAUUAGAAUGAAUAUCCUAUUUGUCUUUAAUUUUAUUAAAAGAUAAAUCUAGUACAAUUAAUCAAUUAAUUAAUUAAUAUUUUUUAUUUAAUUUAUCCUAUUGAUUAAUUAAUAAAUAAAUCAUUCACUAUAUAAAUGAAUUAUUUAAUUAACCAUAUUAAAUUUUAUAAUUAAUCCUAUCAAAAGCCAAUAUCUAUGCUAGUUCAAAAGGUGGUAAUCUAGAGGAAAAAUNAGAAAAUUAUUUUAAUUUCUGUUUAUCCUAUAAGUAAGAUUAUCUUAUUUUUGAACUAAACGGUAUAAAGAACUUUUAGAGUUUAGGCAGAUUAGGCAAGUUUUUUUAUAUAAUAAUAAUAAUAAUAAUAAUAAUAAUAAUAAUAAGGGCAAUUGCUUAUAUACCCCUAACAAGUUUUCGCCUUUCUAAUUAUCCCACUUAGAAAGCUAAUAUAUUGAAAAUAUCCUUUUUUUUCAUUUCAACCUAUUUCAAAUAUACUUCUAGAGUUAAAUUCUGUUAAUAAAAGCUUAUCUGUAUGAAAAUUUCCUUUCAAAUAUACCCUUCUAUCAUCACCGACUUUUGCUUAUUUGCUCUUAAGUUAGGGACACAAAAAUUAUUAGAAUUUUUGGUCUUUUCAAAUUAGUAUGCCCUACUAUAAUGUAGCACACUGGACCUUUACAAAUUACGAGGUUCGAGUGUUUGAUAUGUAUUCCGAACUUUUCCACACUUGGUGGAAGGUCGUAGAUGGUAUUUCGGCCUAAAAGUUCGAUCUCUAGAGUUUUGGCAAGUCCUGAGAGUUUUCACUCUCGGGGACCGGUCCCUGAUAUGAGAGAUCGGUCAUCUCAGAACAGUGCUGCGGCAGGACUUGAGGCAACCGGUCCCUAGCAGGUGAGACCGGUCCCCGAGUGCGAUUACGCGGGGAGAGACCGGUCCCAUGCGGGGAGAGACCGGUUCCCAAACGUUGGAUUUUCGGGGCAGGCUGAGAGACCGGUCCCAGGUCGGGGAGACCGGUCCCUUAGUUCGAAAACUGCCCAGACCCGGGCAGUGCACAGGGUGGUUUUUUUAGGGGCUUAUAUAGAUUUUGUUGCUUCUAUGGGCCUUAAGGCCAUUUCCACUCUCUUACUCCCUCAUUUCUCUCCCACACUUUCACUCUAAAGAGAGAAGAAGAAUGAGAAGAAGGAGAAGGAGUUGGAGGAGAGCAAGAUCUUGAGGCUUUGGGGCAUCUUCCUCUUCCUUUACUCACCUUUGGAGGCUUGGAGCUUGGGCUAGGAGCUUGUUAGAGGAUCAAUCUUCAACCCUAGAAGAUUUGGAGCUUGUUUUGGGGCAUCUAGAAAGGUUAGUACCUUGAUUCUAGCCUUUGAUCCAUGUUUUGGUAGGUUUUACCAUAUGAAACCCUAGAAAUGAGAUUUACGGUUUAUUUUGGAGAUUUUUAAUUUGAGGGCUUAGAGACCUAAUUGAUGGGUUUAGAACCUUCCUCUAGGUUGAAUUGGAAGGGUUCUUGCUCUCUUUGGAAGCUUGAGAAGGGAUUUCAUCACAAGAGGUGAGUUAUGCCCUUUAUGCUUAGAUGAUUUAAGAUUGAGCUUUUCGAUGUUCGUUUCGAUUGUGUAACUCUUGUUCCUACAUCUUUAGGGUACUAGGAGACUAGUGGACACCUCCGUUCAGCGAAACGAAGAGUUUCGAUUUUCGGUGGAUUUGGCUUCAUGAAAACGGGGCGAAAUAGCCCCCGUGUUUUCUAUACUUGUCGUAAUGUCAUUUUAAAUGCAACUCUAUGCUUAAAGGAAUUUAUGUGAAUUUUAGAACACUUAAAAUGCAUGUGUUAUGUAUAAGAAAAUUUGCACUCUAUAUAGUAGAGGAUUCUGGGUAUUGUUACAUGCAUUUGGGUAGUGUUCGCAUUAGUCGUUUGAAAACAUGCUUCAUAUGUUUAAAGUGGCUCAAUUAUGCAUUUGUGAACACUUGUGUUAAGCUUGGACUUAGUAAAUGAAAGUGUCAUAAAGGGGCAUUUAGACUAGCACACUAUAAGACUAUUGUUUUGAGACUUAGAGAUAGACCAUGGACAUCUACUACUUUCUAUGUUUUAGAUAUGAUGACAUAGAGAUAGGCCUAUAAGAGAGUUGUGACAUAUUCCAUAUUGUUAGACAUAAGGACUUAGUACUUGAGACGGAUCUUUUGUUACUUACCAUUGUGCUCAUUCGCACAUGCUUGUGAGGGUCGCUCUCUACAAGCCGGCACUCCGGAAAUGGCCAUCGCGAUACAUAUUCGCUGUGCGGGAUUGGGCGCCGAAGUGGAUUGCCGUGGGAAAGGCUCAUUCCUAGAGUGGGAAUGUUGACUACCACGGGGCCAUUAAGCUCGGCACCGGCCAGACAGUCUACGGGUGGGUCUCAGGGCCAGACAGUCUUCGGGCGGGUCUCUUCAGAUUUGAUUUUGAGCAUUCAUCAUGCCAUGUGGACAUUGAUUAGAAUAGUAAACAAUGACAUCUUUGCUAUUUGACUUAUGGAUAUCAUACUAGCGAUACUUGGGUACAUUCUUAUGAGAAUAGCUUUUCUUACUUAUGCUAAAUCCUGCUAAGUAGAGAUAUCAUGUGGUAGCAAAUAUUCAUACUUAUUUACUUGUCAUACAUACCGUUUUGUUUAUAUCUGCUUACUGACCCCUUUUUAGUUUGGGCCUAGUGGUGCAAUUCACUAAAGCCAGUAAUUGCCCACUGGGAACUAUUAUUCAAUAGUUCUCACGCCCCCUGUUUUAUGGUUUUAUUCAGAGCCUUCGGCACCAGCGGAGGCACGGGAUCGCGGCGGGAGUCGCGUAGCUAGUUAGUAGGGAGCUACUUUUGAGCUUAGGUGGUUUACUCUUUCUUUUAUUGUAUUAGAGAGAGAGAGAGAUUUUGAGUACCAUAUAUAGAGAGACCACCUAUAUACUCUUUAUGUUUAGUUUUUGUAUUUGGGAUUUCCUUUGUACUACUUUAUGGCUUUAUUAGUGGAUUUCAGUUUUAUAUUUACCCCUUUGUGUAGAGCUUAGUUAUUUACUUUGCUCUGAUAUCGUUAGAUUCCUUUGUUCUACUGCUUUAUUUAUCGUUUUGUUUUAGACGCCUUGUAUGUUUUAGACAUAUGGCGGGUCUGGGCACGCCCCGGGCAGGCUUCCACUAGGUCCCGGGGCGUGACAGAUUAGUUUGGUAUCAGAGCCUAGGGUUGAGUCUUAGUGGACCUAGCAAACCUUAGGCCGGUUGGACUAUAGAAAAUAGGCUCGUGAGAGACGAGGUCUAUUUGAUUUGUAAGCGAAAGUAUCGUGAUUGGAUAUCUUGAUAACUCUAGAACGUGGAGUUAAAUCGAAGUGUAUAGCUCCUAAUUUCGCGGAGGGUUACGUUGGCGGCCGACAAUAUAACAUCGGAAGUUAGUAGUGAAGCACACUUCAUUACUUUCGCAUGAUUUGGGGCAUUACCUUCUUGAGUGGGGAUUCGAUGGCGUGAGUUUACUAACUUACGCUUUUAUGAUAUUGUAGUGUGAUACCGAUUACACGCUCCCAAUCUGCCGUAGCGGAUAACACGACAAAUCUGGAGGAGGUCGAGAACUCCGCUACCUCUGGAUCCGGCGAGGUCCAAGAGUUGAGGGGCCAGCUUGCGACCUUCACUGAUAUGGUGGCACAGCAGACUGAGGCGGCGCGCCGACAGGAGGCGCGUAUGAAGCGCCUGGAGGAUCUUCCGUUACAGCAGGCGGCGGCUUCUAGGGAGAUUCAGGCCCCUACACCGCCAGCACCAGUCGUGGACGUCGCGCCGAAAGUGCCAUUCCCGCGCCCAGUUCUUCGCGAGCAGCGCUCGCAGCCACGCCUUAGAAGGAGGCUAUUGCAGCACCACCUAUGCAGAGGCCUCCGGUUGGAGCAGCUUUUCCUAUCUUGGUCGAGGGAGCGGAAAGGGACAGACUGAUGGAACGCCUCAACGAGUUUAGGAGGUGCAGUCCUUGGAUCUUCGAUGGCGAGAAGGUCGACCACUGGAUCGUGGAGAAGUGGUUGAUGCAUAUGGAGAAGCUUUUCCACGACACCUUCCUGGAGAAGAGAGAUCGAGUUUGGCUCGCCACACACCAUUUGGACGGCGAGGCCUACCGCUGGUGGAUGGAUCUCUAGGAGAACCACAGCAUUGAUUUGGCGGCUAUUACUUGGAAGAGGUUCAAGAAGCUUCUUUUGGCAUACUACUUUCCGACCAGCGUCAAGAGGAAGAUGGAGCAGGAUCUACGCAACUUGCGCCAAGGUGAUCGGACUGUGGCCGAGUACGAGCAGGAGUUUUCUCGGCUUCUUCACUGCGUGCCUUUCGUCGUGCGAGACGACGAGGACAAGGCCCGCAUCUUCGAGUGAGGGUUGCGACCGUCGAUCUUCUGGUUUGUGCAAUCCUCUAACCUCCAAACCUACCGGGAGGUGGUGGAUCGCGCGCUCAUAGUGGAAAGCGGCGCGGCAGACGUCCAGGAGCGACGAGAGGUGAUGGACAAAGGUAAGGCCAAGAGGCCUGCGGCAGAGAGUGCGAACCAGACGCACUCUAGGAGGUUGCCGAAGCAUCCUAGGAGCCAGCAGCGUGGACGCGGCUCAGUAGCACAGCGAGGAGGUUCUGACCGUCGCCGGCAUUCCCCGUGUGUGAUCUGCGGUGGUCCUCAUUUCCCAUCGCAGUGUCCACAGCGGGUGGGAAGGUGCUUCCAGUGUGGCCAGGAGGACCACGUUCGGACAGAGUGCCCGAGAGUUCUUCACCGGCACCGUCGAUUGUAUCGGCACCGGCUCUACCAGCCGUCAGCCACGGGACUCCAUCGACACAGUACCAGCCUGGGCGGCCACCCGUCUAGCGCCAGAGCGAGGGAUCUCGACAGGCCCCGAGUGGGCAUUUGUAUGCCGCUCAGACCGAGGAGGCGGCAGCAGCCGAGGAUGUGGUUGCAGGUAUCAUUUUACUUGAUGGCAUUAGAGUUCGUGCUUUAUUUGAUACCGGUGCAUCACAUUCAUUUAUAAAUCGGCUGUUUGUCGAGUUGCAUGGCAUCCCUUUGGUUUUCUUGUUGCAUCCGAGACAUGUUGUAGUACCCGACCACACUCUGGAUAUUAGAGAGUAUUGCCCUGGUUGCCCUAUUCGGGUAGGAGAUUGGAUCAUGCCCGUAGAUUUGCUAGCCCUGCGCAAGCUAGGAAAUUUCGAUGUGGUCUUGGGUAUGGAUUGGCUAACCAAGUAUUAUGCCACGAUUGAUUAUAAGAAUCGCACGGUUACUUUUAGAGAACCGGGGUAGACUGAGGUUGUGUUUAGUGAAUGCCGGAGUUCGCUUUUUGUGAUGUCGAUCAGCUCGUCUCGAGCUAGGCAGCUGAUCAGCCGAGGAUGUGUAGCUUACUUGGCUAGUGUUGUGUUGAGGGGCGAGGAUGACAACCCUAGGAUUGAGGAUAUCCCGGUGGUAUGGGAGUUUUAGGACAUGUUUCCACCUGAGCUUCUGGGUAUGCCACCCGAUAUGGAGAUCGAGUUUGUGGUAGAUCUCGUCCCUGGGACUACUCCAAUCUCGAAGGCACCCUAUAGGAUGGCACCGGCGGAGCUGAAGGAGCUAAGGGCACAGCUACAGGAUCUGUUAGACAAGGGCUUCAUUCGACCGAGCGUCUCGCCGUGGGGAGCGCCAGUUCUAUUCGUCAAGAAAAAGGACGGAUCACUUCGCCUAUGUGUGUACUAUCGUGAACUCAAUAAAGUCACGAUCAAGAAUAAGUAUCCGUUGCCGAGGAUCGACGACUUGUUUGAUCAGUUUCAAGGAUCGUGUGUGUAUUCUAAGAUAGACUUGCAGUCGGAAUACCACCAGUUAAAGAUCAAACCCGAGGAUGUAUCGAAGACGGCUUUUAGAACACGGUAUGGACACUAUGAGUUCACAGUUAUGCCAUUUGGGCUUACUAAUAUCCCGACAGCUUUUAUGGAUCUGAUGAACCGUGUUUUUAAGCCUUAUCUAGACAGGUUCGUCGUGGUAUUCAUCGACGAUAUUUUGGUUUAUUCCCGAAGUGAUGCGGAUCACGAGGAGCAUUUGAGGCUAGUACUUCAAUUACUUCUGGAAAAGGAGCUUUACGCCAAGCUGAAAAAGUGUGAAUUUUGGCUUCGAGAGGUAGCCUUUCUUGGACAUUUGAUGUCGAGAUCGGGUAUAGCCGUGGAUCCUAAGAAGAUUGAGGCUAUCAAGGAUUGGCCGAGACCGACGAGCGUUACGGAGAUUUGGAGUUUCCUUGGAUUGGCCGGUUACUACCGGAGAUUUGUUGAGGGGUUCGCUAAGCUAUCUACUCCCCUCACGAGGCUCAUGCAUAAAGGUGUCAAGUUCAUCUGGAAUGAUGCGUGUGAGAGAAGCUUCCAAGAGCUGAAACAACGNGCUAAGCUAUCUACUCCCCUCACGAGGCUCACGCAUAAAGGUGUUAAGUUUAUUUGGAAUGAUGCGUGCGAGCGAAGCUUCCAAGAGUUGAAGCAACGAUUGACUACCGCCCCGAUCUUGACCCUACCAGUAGCUGGAGCAGGGUAUGUGGUUUAUAGCGAUACAUCUCUUAAUGGAUUGGGCUGUGUUUUGAUGCAUGAUGGCAAGGUGAUCGCGUAUGCUUCUCACCAACUGAAUGAAUAUGAAAAAAAUUACCCUACACAUGAUUUGGAGUUGGCGGCCGUAGUUUUCGCAUUGAAGUUAUGGCGCCAUUACUUAUAUGGCGAGCGAUGUGAAGUAUACACGGAUCACAAGAGCUUGAAGUAUUUGUUCACUCAGAAGGAGUUGAACUUGAGACAACGCAGAUGGUUGGAGCUGCUCAAGGAUUAUGAUUUGACGAUUCUUUACCACCCGGGCAAGGCUAACAUGGUGGCGGAUGCGUUAAGGAGGAAAUCUACUGAAAACUUAGCGAUGCAUGUUGUUACUCAACAGCAGUUGAUCGAGCAGACGAAGCGGUUGGAGUUGGAGGUAGUGACUCCUGACACACCUUUGAGAUUGAUGACCUUGGUAGCGCAACCUAUACUCUUAGAUAGAAUUAAAGAGAAGCAAGCUUCCAAUGUGGAGUUGCAAAGGAUUAAAGGUAAAAUGGUUGAUGGUUGCACCGCCGACUACCUCGUGGAUGACCAAGGAUUGAUGCGUUUCUGUGGACGGAUUUGUGUACCGGGGGAUUCGGAAAUUAAAGAGGAUAUUCUUCAAGAAGCGCACCGAGCGCCCUAUGCUAUACAUUCGGGAGGCACCGAGAUGUACAAGGACUUGAAGUUGCUUUAUUGGUGGCUUGGGAUGAAAAAGGACGUUAGCGAGUUUGUAGCUCGUUGUCUAACUUGCCAACAAGUAAAGGCUGAGCAUCGAUUACCCACGAAAAAAUUUCAGAAUUUGCCUAUUCCAGUGUGGAAGUGGGAAAAGAUCACCAUAGAUUUCGUGACUGGAUUGCCCCGCUCUCAGGCCGGGCAUGAUGCUAUUUGGGUGAUCGUGGAUAGGUUGACGAAGUCGGCGCACUUCAUACUUAUUCGUACUAGUUGGACCGAAGAGAAGCUCGCACAAGUGUACCUUGAUGAGAUUGUGCGACUUCACGGAGUACUUACAUCGAUAGUAUCGGAUCGAGACACUCGGUUUGUGUCUCACUUUUGGAGGAGUCUACAGGACGCCUUGGGCACCCGACUCGACUUCAGCACUGCUUUCCACUCUCAGAGUGAUGGGCAGUCGGAACGCACCAUUCAGACUUUAGAGGAUAUGUUCCGAGCGUAUGUGAUAGACUUCUAGGGAGGAUGGUCGCAGUAUCUACCUAUGGCAGAGUUUGCUUAUAACAACAGUUAUCAAGCAAGCAUCAAGAUGGCGCCGUUUGAAGCACUUUAUGGACGGAAGUGUAGAUCGCCACUUCAUUGGAGUGAAGUUGGCGAGAGAUUGGCUUUAGGUCCUGAUGUGCUCCAGGAAGCUGAGGACAAAGUUCGAAUUGCUCGGGAGCGACUUUUGACGGCACAGAGUUGACAGAGGAGCUACGUCGAUCAACAACAGCGAGACUUGGAGUUCCAAGUAGGAUACCAUGUUGUCUUGAAGUUCUCGCCGACUAGAGGGAUCAAGAGAUUCGGGAUUCAGGGUAAGUUGAGCCCCCGUUUCAUUGGACCGUAUGAGAUUUUGGAAUGGGUAGUUACGGUAGAGUAUCGACUUGCUCUACCACCGAACUUAUCGGGCGUGCACAACGUCUUUCAUGUAUCGGUCCUUCGGAAGUAUGUCUUCGACCUGAAUCAUGUGUUGGAUGCUACACCUGUGGAGUUGUGGGAUGAUUUGAGCUUCGAGGAGCAGCCCGUGAAGAUCUUGACUCGCGAGGUGCGGAAACUGCUGAAUCGGGAUAUUCCGUACGUGAAGGUUCUUUGGAGCAACCACGGGAAGCGGGAGGCCACGUAGGAGCUAGAGAGCGCGCUGCGGGAACGCUAUCCUCAUCUUUUUCAGAUGGAGCUUUGAGGUAUGUUGUCGUUUUGAAUUUCGCGGACGAAACACCUUUUUAGGAGGGGUGAAUGUAGCACACUGGACCUUGCAAAUUGCGAGGUUCGAGUGUUUGAUAUGUAUUCCGAACUUUUCCAUACUUGGUGGAAGGUCGUAGAUGGUAUUCCGGCCUAAAAGUUUGAUCUCUAGAGUUUUAGCAAGUCCUGAGAGUUUUCAUUCUCGGGGACCGGUUCCUGAUAUGAGAGAGUGGUCCCCUCAGAACAGUGCUGCGGCAGGACUUGAGGCAACCGGUCCCUAGCGGGUUAGACCGGUCCCCGAGUGCGAUUACGCGGGAAGAGACCGGUCCCAUGCGGGGAGAGACCGGUUCCCGAACGUUGGAUUUUCGGGGCAGGCUGAGAGACCGGUCCCAAGUCAGGGAGACCAGUCCCUCAGUCCGAAAACUGCCCAGACCCGGGCAGUGCACAGGGUGGUUUUUUUAGGGGCUUAUAUAGAUUUUGUUGCUUCUAUGGGCCUUAAGGCCAUUUCUACUCUCUCACUUCCUCAUUUCUCUCCCUCACUUUCACUCUAGAGAGAGAAGAAGAAGGAGAAGAAGGAGGAGGAGUUGGAGGAGAGCAAGAUCUUGAGGCUUUGGGGCAUCUUCCUCUUCCUUUACUCACCUUUGGAGGCUUGGAGCUUGGGCUAGGAGCUUGUUAGAGGAUCAAUCUUCAACUCUAGAAGAUUUGGAGCUUGUUUUGGGGCAUCUAGAGAGAUUAGUACCUUAAUUCUAGCCUUUGAUCCAUGUUUUGGUAGGUUUUACCAUAUGAAACCCUAGAAAUGAGAUUUAGGAUUUAUUUUGGAGAUUUUUGAUUUGAGGGCUUGGAGACCUAAUUGAUGGAUUUAGAACCUUCCUCUAGGUUGGGUUGAAAGGGUUAUUGCUCUCUUUGGAAGCUUGAGAAGGGAUUUCAUCACAAGAGGUGAGUUAUGCCCUUUAUGCUUAGAUGAUUUAAGGUUGAGCUUUUCGAUGUUCAUUUCGAUUGUGUAACUCUUCUUCCUACAUCUUUAGAGUGCUAGGAGACUAAUGGACACCUCCGUUCGGCGAAACGAAGAGUUUCGAUUUUCGGUGGAUUUGGCUUCAUAAAAACGGGGCGAAAUAGCCCCCGUGUUUUCUAUACUUGUCGUAACGUCAUUUUAAAUGCAACUCUAUGCUUAAUGAAAUUUAUGUGAAUUUUAGAACACUUAAAAUGCAUGUGUUAUGUAUAAGAAAAUUUGCACUCUAUAUAGUAGAGCAUCCUGGGUAUUGUUACAUGCAUUUGGAUAGUGUUCGCAUUAGUCAUUUGGAAACAUACUUCAUAUGUUUAAAGUGGCUCAAUUAUGCAUUUGUGAGCACUUGGGUUAAGCUUGGACUUAGUAAAUGAAAGUGUUAUAAAGGGGCACUUAGACUAGCACACAAUAAGACUAUUAUUUUGAGACUUAGAGAUAGGCCAUGGACAUCUACUACUUUCCAUAUUUUAGACAUGAUGACAUAGAGAUAGGCUUAUGAGAGAGUUGUGACAUAUUCCAUGUUGUUAGACAUGAGGACUUAGUACUUAAGACGGAUCUUUCGUUACUUGCCAUUGUGCUCAUUCGCACAUGCUUGUGAGGGUCGCUCUUUACAAGCCGGCACUCCGGAGAUGGCCAUCGCGAUACAUAUUCGCCGUACGGGAUUGGGCGCCGAAGUGGAUUGUCGUGGGAAAGGCUCAUUCCUAGAGUGGGAAUGUUGACUACCACGAGGCCAUUAAGCUCGGUACCGGCCAGACAGUCUACGGGUGGGUCUCAGGGCCAGACAGUCUUCGGGCGGGUUUCUUCAGAUUUGAUUUUGAGCAUUCAUCAUGCCAUGUGGACAUUGAUUAGAAUAGUAAACAAUGACAUCUUUGCUAUUUGACUUAUGGAUAUCAUACUAGCGAUGCUUGGGUACAUUCUUAUGAGAAUAGCUUUUCUUACUUAUGCUAAAUCCUGCUAAGUAGAGAUAUCAUGUGGUAGCAAAUAUUCAUACUUAUUUACUUGUCGUACAUAUCGUUUUGUUUAUAUCUGCUUACUGACCCCUUUUUAGUUUGGGCCUAGUGGUGCAUUUCACUAAAGCCAGCUAUUGCCCACUGGGAACUAUUAUUCAAUAGUUCUCACGCCCCCUAUUUUAUGGUUUUAUUUCAGAGCCUUCGGUACCGGCGGAGGCACGGGAUCGCGGCAAGGGAGUCGCGUAGCUAGUUAGUAGGGAGCUACUUUUGAGCUUAGGUGGUUUACUCUUUCUUUUAUUGUAUUAGAGAGAGAGAGAGAUUUUGAGUACCAUAUAUAGAGAGACCACCUAUAUACUCUUUAUGUCUAGUUUUUGUAUUUGUGAUUUCCUUUAUACUACUUUAUGGCUUUAUUAGUGGAUUUCAGUUUUAUACUUACCCCUCUGUGUAGAACUUAGUUAUUUAUUUUGCUCUGAUAUCGUUAGAUUCCUUUGUUCUACUGUUUUAUUUAUCGUUUUGUUUUAAACGCCUUAUAUAUUUUAGACAUAUGGCAGGUCUGGGCACGCGCCGGGCGGGCUUCCGCUGGGUCCCGGGGCGUGACAUAUUAUCACCAAUAUUUCUUAUUUAUCAUUAAGUUAAGAGCAAAAGAGCCAUUUUGAUUUUUUUUUUUUACUUUUGUAGAUAUUUAACUCACGUCAAGUUAAUUUAACAGGUGCUAACUAUAGGGGUAUUUCGGAAUAACGUGGGAACAUGCGAGGAAUAUAUGAGAAAGAACAAAAAUAGAGAUAACUUAGAUAUUUUUAAAUUUUUGAGGGUAUAUAUAUAGAUAAUUAUUCCUAAUAAUAAUAUAUCCGGAAUCUAAACAUCGAUUUUGAAUAGAGCUAUAAUACGAAUCCGAAUAGGAUUACAAGUGUUAAUUAUUUGUAUAUAAUACGAAUCUGAAGACGAGCAGGCGCUUCACGUUGGGUACUUUGUGGUGCGCACGAUGGCGAGGGACUGGACGGACCUUUCGUCGGGCGUCCUGGCGGCCAUCGCGGCGCGUCUGACGGCGAUCGACUACAUGGCCUUCCGCAAGGUCUGCCGGCUCUGGGCCCGCUCGGUGUCCGGCGUCCCGCCGUCCCCUCACGUCCCCUACCUCCUUCUCCUCGGCGGCGGCGGCGGCGACGACGACGACGGCGAGCGCAGCGACGAGUUCACCUUCCUCGGCCUCCCCGGCCAGACGCUCCACCGCCUGCCCGUCCCCGGCCUCCGCGGCAAGUACUGCGUCGGCUCCCAGCACGGCUGGCUGGCCACCCUCGACCCCUUCUCCGAGCCCGCCCUCCUCAACCCCCUCACCGGGCAAGAAAUCCCCCUACCCUCCAUCACCACCCUCCCCGACAUCCACCCCUCCUACGCCCCCGACGGCUCCGUAGCCUCCUACUUCCACUUCUCCGACCCCACCGACUACUACUUCCACUACAAGCCCGAGGAGUUCCGUGGCCUUUCCUUCGACAAGGUCGCCUUCUCCUCCAGCCCCGCCGCCGGCGGCCCCCUCACCGUCGUCGCCCUUUACGGCAUCGCGUCGAAGCUCGCGUUCACCACCGCGGGGGCGGACAGGUGGCGCCUCCACGACGACGGCUGGCGCUUCCACGACGUCGCCUUCCGCCGCGGCAGCCUCCUCGCUCUGUCGGGCGAUGGGGAUCUGCUCGCCGUCGACCUCAGCGGAGGCUACGCCGACGUCGUCAGGCUCGUCGCCAGCCAGUUCGACCCCCUUGUCGCAGGACAGUACAGGAGGUACCUCGUCGCCGACGACGCCACCGGCGAUCUCCUGCAGGUGUGGAGGAACUUCGACUUCGACGAUGUCGCGAAUACCUUGACGACUCGCGAAAUCAAGGUCAUGAGGCUCGACUGGGGAACAAAUCGAUGGAUUCCGAUCAGCAGCCUGGGCGGCCGAGCUCUGUUCCUCGGGAUCGGCUCUUCCAUGUUGCUCUCGCCCGAAGAUGUCCGCGGGCUGCGGCCGAAUUGCGUCUAUCUCACCGACGACUGGUGGGACAUGCUGUACAGCGAGGAGGUCAGACUGGCGAGGCGCGACGUCGGGAUAUACUGCCUCGAAGAUGCCAGUCUCCAGCCCUGCCAUUCUCCCGACCCUCGAUUCAACUGGCCUCCGCCUGUCUGGAUCUCGCCGUCUCUAUCCUAACUUAGGUUCCGACUCGCACUAAUUUGAUCCAUGCCUCCUUCUUCUUCUUCUUCUUGAUGCUGGUUUUGCUAUCUAUUUGUUUGGAGUUUCAUUUAGAUUGUCAAAUUUAAUUAGUUUCAUUUAGCUUGUCCUUAUACCUCGGAACGGUGGCUAUCACCACCCUUAGCUGAUUUAACUGCCACAUCCUCUCAAGAUUAUUAUUGAUAAGCUUUUACAACAUUUCAAAAGGUGAUUCGCCGAGUGAAUUAGCAGCCAAAAUCAUCUUCAAAAGAUAAAAGUAGUAGCGAUGACGCCUUCAGGCGAUGUUGUAACUUGCAACCGAAUUAGUUGCCACCUAGUCGUUUUUUUUGGAGAAAAUUGGUAUGGACUUGAACGAGUGACUUAUUUGAAGUAGAAUUGAAGCUCGGUGCCUCAAUUGAAACGCGCUUAUCAUCGGGGAACUCAAAUUUCACUUACAAGUGUAGAGACUCUGGAUUAUAGGAGUCUAGUGACUGCGGAUUAAUUUACCUUAUUUAUUUAAACUCAAAGACGAAUUUAACAUUGACCGAUUAAAAUUAAUGAAAGGAUUAAUAAAUGAAUUUGUGAUCGAAAAGUAAGGCUUUUUUUUUCAAAUUUUGGCUUAUUAAUUUAAAUAAACUGGUUUAGUAUAGAACUAUAAAGUUUCUAGCGUGUAAAGUAUUGUCUAGCCAGUUGGCACGGUCUGGUACUGUUGGGACGUACUGCACAUGCCACCCAUGCCGAUAAACCCGUGCAACCUGCCCCGACUGUGCCGACAUCUAAAACAGGUGUUUUGCCGAGGCGUGCCAUGCAGUGUCAAUGGCACAUCGGCGCACCCCAUGCUAGUGGCCUUUGACCGUAAAGCUUAACUGAUUAUGUUUAUGCCCUCUAGUAUUUAUUACUUCUCUAUUCUCUUGACUUUUUUUCCAUGUCCUUGGAUGUGAAAACCUUAGUAGUGGGUAUUCGAAUGUAGAAAGUGGGUCAGCUUGAGAAUUUCUUGUUUCUCUUGUGGUAAGUUGGUUUUUGCUUACCAAUAGUUUGACACUCUAGAUACUUCUCUUGUUUAAAAUAUUUUCUAGUGGUUAGUUUGCCAGCUAGAAUUAGAUAUGGCAUCGACUGUGGAAAGGUGGCUAUAUCUUCCCCGUGAUCUUCCUUCCUUCACUCUUGGACUAGCACUUCUCCUUCUUUCUAAACAAGAGCUAUGCAGCCUUACUUUUGAACAUGUGAAAUUGAAACUAUCUUCUAUAAGCAAUACAUCUUAAUGAGAACUAGAAACAUGUAGAAGUUCAACACCAACUGAAAUGAUUAAAGUCUCUAAAAGGUGAAAGGAUUAGGUUGAGAAACUUAGUAAUCGUUAACCACAUCAAGAGAGUAGGGGUGACCUCUAAUAGAGCUCUUUCAACUGUGAACUCGGACUGUGCUAUUGACCUCCUAAUCUUUUUAAGAGAAAGGUAGCAUACUACAAGCUUUGUUCAUUUUAUUUUAUUUUAUUUUAUUUUUUUUAAAGAAAUGAACUUAACUGGAAAUGUGAAGCAACUAAGCUUCUGUAACGGCCAAUGAAUUUUCAUCAUUGGCGUUUGCGAAUCGUCCAGGAUAUUACAGCUUCGAACUUGGGGGCCGCAGGUACCAACCAGCAAGCCUUAAGUUGAGGCUGCAGUUCUAGAGAUGAAGAAAAGUGAGGAAUGAGGUAUAGCUUUUUACUAAUGCAAUUAAUAGUUUCCGAAUUACGGGAAUUCAAAAGAGUCAUUUGCUUAUGAACAAGUAACAAACCUUUCAAUCAAGGUUUUAAGUGCCUGUCGGCAUGGGCCGUAUCCACCGUGCCGUACCGUGCCAACAACAUACUAGCAUGAUAUAGACCCCGUGCCGAUGGCACAAUUCAAAACCCUCUAUUCUUUAAAUUAGUAAAUAAUUUUCUCAAUAAAGUUCAAAAGAUGUGAUAAAAAAACAUAAUAAAUAGUUAGAAUAUUUUGCUGCUAAAGAAAAUAAAUAUUUCAUGUUAUUAUGUGUCAGCACACAAGAAUUUUUUUGACCAGCACGGACUGGCACGGCUCGACAAGCACCGUGCAGUAUCGUGCCGGCAAGUUUCUGGCACGACCCCGUGCCACGGCACUUAAAUCCUUGCUUUCAAAGUAUGAAGAAAUGGGAGAACGGGCCACUUGUGUGAUAUAUAUAGAUACGUAGAUGUGUAGUUUUAAAUUAAUGAUGAUUGAAGUAUAUGAAGAUAGAGAAGAGUGGGCCAGUUGUGUAAUGUGUAUGGACAGGUCAAUGGGUAGUUUUAGUGUAAGGUACCGGACUUCUUAAAUUAUGAAAUUACGGUAGGAUGUAGUAUGCUGAAUUUUUAAUAUAAAAAUAAAUAAAAAUAAAAAUAGUGUGAGAUACUAUUUUUAUUGGACUUAAGGGUGUAAAUUGUAAGUUGGAAAUGACCUGUGCUGAAAUCGGAGCGAAAACAGAAGAUUUAGAAUUUUCUGUGAGAAACGGGGCAGACAAAUUAGCAGAAAAUGCACAGUGUCAGAAAAUUAUGAAAACUGGAGGAUAUGUCAGAAUUAUUUUUAUAAGGCUAGAACUAAAGUUUCAUCCCAUUCUGACACCCGGAAGGUGGAGAAUAAAAUCGAAUUGUUAUCUGCUAGAGAUUACAGUUCAGUAGAGUUUUCGGUGACCAAACGGGGUCGAAACUGAAAGAUUAAAAUUUCUUUCGUUAAGUUAAGUAAAACCGAGCCUGACUGUCAAGUUUGAGCUCAAACGGACAUUCAGAAGGGCAGGCGAAAAAUAUCUGUACCCAAGCACAAACUGAAGUGAAUAGUAUUUUUGGAGGUUUAUUAUAAAAGAAGCUAUUUGCUUCUUUUCUCCUUCAACCGAGCAUCACACGCAUGCAUGGAGGUUGAGAGAGAAACCCUCUUUUCUCUCUCUAAAUACCUCCCUUUCUCUCUCUAGAUCUCUCCCAAAAUUUGAAGGUUUUGGUGGAGAUUGAAGUUUAAAGGUGGAUUUUCAUCUUCAUCAUCUUCUUCCUCUCCAUUGGAGCUAGCUUGAGAGGUAAGCUUUGAUAGCAACAAUGGUAGAUUGCUAAGGAAUAAUUUGUAUGCUCUAAGAAUGGAUUUAUUGGAACCCUAGCUUGCUAAAUAGUUAAUUAAUGCUUGAAUCUAGAGAUCAAAUAGAGGAUUCUUGCAUAGUUGUAAUACGAGGGCUCCAAAAAUAGGGUUUUUGGAAAUAUGAGGGUUUGAUCUCAAUUGAUCCUUCGUAAACCUAAUUGGUAGGUAAACGAACGCGUUGGCGAAGUCGGUUCGGCGAUUCGUCAACCCUACGCGAAGAUAUUGAAGAAACUGACGAUUUAGCUUCGUUUCUGCCUGGAGGGCCGAGGCGACGUCCAAAAAUUAUGAAAAUGGAUUUGAAGCACCGUAUCAGUAAACCGAAGGCCUUUAAUUUUCGGGGCUGCAAAGCGGCGCACGGUUGGUGCGCAACUGCAAGAUCGGGCCGUGUCGGAUACGGGUGCCGCGAGAGGCAGAUUGCAAGUGACUACGAGCAAUCGGAGAGUAAGUUAAGGUGGGUUGUGCUUACCGAAGCGACUAGAUUUCCCCGCAUGUCAAAGCGGAAUAUGGAUUCUUGUUGAUGCAUAUGUGCAAGUUAGCAUUAUGUAAAUAUAUGCUAGCGGGUAGAAUACAUGCUAGUGAUAAUUUCAUAAUAAUGCAUUGGAAAGUACAUGCUAGUAAGUAGAUGUAAGUGAGAUGUUUAUAUGCUUGUAGAAUAUAUGCUAGCUAAUUGCAUGACUGCAUGAUUAUAUGAUGCUAGGAGAGGCAUGAUGACAUGGCAAGCAUAAGGCAAAUGCUAGAUGACGCAUGUAGUUGAUGCUAGACACAUGUAUGUGAACUGUAGAAUACUCGAUAUAACAAAUAGGAUGUCAAGUAGAUCGAGUGGCAUUAACCUAGUGUUAAUAAACAUAGGUCGGAUGAAGAUGAUAUUGAACCUAGUGUUAGUAAACAUAGGUUACAAUGAAUCUAGUGUCAAGGACCUAGGAGAAAUAAGAAUGGUAUAUGAAUCUAGUGUUGUUGAACCUAGGGUGAAUUAUGAGUGACAUCUAACCUAGUGUUAAAGAACAUAGGUUGAGAAUGAACCAAGAGUUAUCUAAACCUAGGUGUGAGGCAUUAAUCUAGUGUCGUGAACAUAGGUUGUGAACUGGACUUAGAGUUAAAGUAAACCUAGGUUAUGUGAUUCAGGUAUUAAACCUAAAGUCAGUUGGACCUAGGGUGGGAAGUGCAUUGGACCUGGUUAGGUCGAUAAUAUAGGGUUUGAGACCAACCCUUGAGUUAUGUGAAGUGGAUUCCGGAAUCCCGAGACUUGUGAGCUCGAUAGUUCUUGGCCGCGGGUGUAUGUGGCAUGUUCCUCUCCCACCGGAAGAACUUCGAGGAUUGUGAGUAAGCAAGAACAAAGAGCGCUAGGGUGUAUGUGGUAUGUUCCUCUCCCUAUCGGGGAUCUCGGCUGCGGGUGUAUGCGGCAUGUUCCUUUCCCACCGGGAGAUCCCUGACCACUGUGCACGGACCUUCGGGCGGACCGUUGGGCAAUGUGGUUCUUGGCUUUCUGGCUGAGGUGCAUGUGAGAGUUCCUUCACCUCGAGCCGGGCAGAGCGCGGAUUAUCCGCAGUUGAUUGACUCGAGGCCGAGUCGGGUGGCUAGCUGGAAUAAGGUAGAUAGAACCUUGAGGGCUAGUGGUAAAUGUGAUAAAUCUAAGGUAAUAGAGACCUUAGAAACAAGGGGGACCUGAGUUGUGAACCUAAGGGAGUAGAAACCUUAGAGUUGGAUGACAUGAACUAAAGUUAGCAAGAUUGAAUGUAGAAUCAAUAAUUCUACUAGUUGUUGCAUAUAUGUUCAUGUUGCGUAUAGCAUGGCAUCAUUGCAGUUGUGAGGCAAAAUAAGGUAAAGUUAGUUACAUGUUUAUGAUAUACAUAUCUAUCUGUUUAUUGGACUAACUUGUAUUUGCCUCCUUUGGACAUGUUGGUCGAGCUCCUCCCUUGGGUGGCUGUACCCACUGGGAACCAUGGAGUUGGUUCUCACCCCACGUUGUUUUGGGGUGUUACAGAUUCGCACGUGAGCGGUGCGGCGGCGCGAGGCAAGGGCGUAGCUCCAUAGAUAGCGUCCUACCUCUGAGACUAGAGAUAGCGGUACCCCGAGUCGGCAUAGCCUAGGGGUAUAGGAAAGGGAAGAAACACAAUGUAUCAAACUUGUAAAUAAAUAAUGUAGUAACUCGAUUGAAUUUGGAAGUUUUUGGAAGUUAUAAAAUGUAAUAUGCAAGUAUGAGGUAAAAAUGAAUCUAUGUGAAUGCUUGUAAUAACAUAGGAUGUGUUAUGUUGUUUGAUACCUUCCUUAUGCAAUCUUGCUUGAAUACUGUUCCUGGUUGGAACUUCUUGUACUUGUAUUGAUUGCGACGCCUAGGACGUACAGGGGAGACUCUGUCCGUUCGGCGGUCUGUCGGCGUGCCCGAACCUGACCAAAUAGGCGGGGCUCGUUGCGUGACAUUUAGAUUAAUUUGAUUGAAGUGAUAUGUGAUCUUUUGGAAAUGUUUCUUUUUCUUUGACAAAUGUUAGGGCAGACGCCUUAAUGGACAGGUAGCAUUGCGAACGCGUAGCAAUCCAAUCUGAGUAGGUUUCUGCAUAUAUUGGAUACACGCUGAAAACUUGAUAUACCAAAAACACUUAUUUAAUCUUCUUUAAGGGGGACCAUGGAGAAGAAAAGUAUGCGAAGCGGCCUAUUUUCGCAACAGUAGUGCUUUGCAAACAUAGAGAUGUGGUGCAGAUCACAGGUUGAAUGGCAUGUUGUGAGUGACUUUGCAAAGAUAGAGAUGUGCUGCAGCUCGAAUGAGGCAUGUUAAAUCAGCAUGGAAUCAUGGAUGAGGCUGUGGCACUUUGUUUUGAUUUAUUUAUAAAAGUAUAGGAGUAUUUUGAUAAUAUAUUGGCAUUGUAGUAGGAUGGAGAUAUAUUUUAGUAUCUCAGCUUUGGUUUAAUCAGUAAGUUGGUAAAAUCGGACCACUCUGAGUGUCUAGGCAUCCGACUUGACAAUUUACUCUGUCAAACUUGAUCUAUAGGAUUUCAAGAUUCUAGGAAUUGAAUACCAUAAUUUUAGAAAAUUAUAAUUUAUUUGUCUUGUCCAUCCACCAAAUGAAUUGUAGAAACUGAACAAGCAUAAAAGAAGUCAAGGGAAGCAUUACGCAAUUCAAGAUUGGAUGUGACUUGAUAUAUAUAUAUAUAUAUAUAUAUAUAUAUAUAUAUAUAUAUAUAGAGCAGGGCUGUUGUGCUCUCAGGAGCACGGAGGCCUUUGUUCUCCUGAGCCGUUUUCGAUGAUGGAAUAUUCGAAUCGACGAUUGGCUCCGUUAGACUUGAUCUAGUGUAUUUGAAGUUUCUAAAAAAUAAUUUUUGCGAUUUUUCGAUAUCAUUUACCUAGCAAUCAAAAAGAUUCAAAAUCAAUAAUUUUUAACGGCUGAAAAUAAAAAUCCUAUAAAAGUGGUGAUAUAGCACUAAAAUUUUCGAUCAAAAAUAUUGAUCUUGUUGUAGAUAGUGUAAAGAAUUUUGUAUCAAAAUUUCAUCUGAUUUGAAUUCUUCUACACCGUUAAAGUUGAAAACAGCAAAUAUUAACCAUUAAAAAUUAUUGAUUUUAAACCCUUUCAAUCAUUAGGUAAAUGAUAUAAAAAAAUCGUAAAAUUUAUUUUCUAGAAACUUCAAAUAUGCUAGAUUAAUUCUAACGGAGCCGAUCGUCGAUUCGAAAGUCCAAACAUCGAAAACAACUUGGAAGCACGGAGUGCUCCGUGCUUCCAGAAGCAUACCAGACGCACUAUAUAUAUAUAUAUAUACAUAUAUAUAUAUAUAUAUACAUAUAUAUAUAUAUAUAUACUUCUUUUUAACUUAAAUUAAGGUUAACUGACCCCGUCAAAUGAGCAAUUGGCCCCUAGUAGCCAUUAGAGAUUGUGAAUUUUGGGAUCAUUUGAUCUAAACACCUUAUAUUCUUUGGUUUUUACCCGUUUGAUGUGCAUCACGAUUCACAGGCAUGUUGGUUACUAGGACUGCUGGCCUUCAGUCGAACUACCUUGCCUUCAGGGGAUGAACUGUGAAAGGAUCAAUCCUCCAUUCAGUUUUCUUAACUUAAAAAGUACAUCAGGGCAUUCCACUGAGUAUGUUAUUCUGAUCCACAAAACAUCCAUGAAUUCCUGCACUCGUGCAGACUUGCUUACAAGCCUCUAACGGCACAACUGCUGUAGGGAAAUGGCCCGAUGGAUUUGUCAGCUGGUGAACAAGCACAAUCCACUUCUUAUGUUCGAAACAACAAUUCACUUAGGAGAUGUAAUUUCAGUUCUAUACAUUUAAAAUCCAAAUUAGAUAUAAAACAAGAGAAACUUCACACUAGACGAAUAAAAAACUGGGGAAACAUUACAUUGGACAAGUUAUUAUAAAUUUUGUUUUCUUUUUUUUAAAAAAAGCAGUUCCCAUUAUCACAUUUUUACUUUAGAUAUGGCGCAAUUUUUCAAUUAGCGUAAGAGCAUAGUACAAUACUUGAUGAGAAAAGCAUGAGAGUGGAGGAGGAUUUAUGGUCUCUUCUGUUCGCUGUUAUCUGUGCUUGAACCUUUUAUAGUUAUCUUGCGGCUUCAAGCUCUUGCAAGCCCCUAAAUGAAUAUUUAAGAUACAUCAAAUUGUUCUAGUAGAUUAAGUAUCAAUUUAUUUAUUUGAUAUAAAUCAAUCAUCGUAGAUCACAAUAGAAACUUUUUGAUGACACAUGCGAUGGUUCUUUUCAGAUUGAUGGAAAGAAUAUGAAUAACUUCUAGAUAACACAAUGCGGAAGCUAAUGUCUUAUCUUUAUUGCAGGGAAAAGCUUGAAAUCGUGUCAUGAAUCAGAUUACUUGUGCGAGCGAUGUGGAAUAUGUUACGGAUGGACUAUUUUUGUAUGAAUGGGCUCUAUCGUCGACUGAAGUAUUAAUGGUUGAACUGUAUUUAUGAGAUGAAACUGAAUAUUUUUGCGGGAUUAUUUAGCGAGCGUGUAACAGUUAUAUCUAUGCACUCUAAAUUAUUUAGCAUCAUUAUAGUGUCUGGGUGCCAACUAUUCUUGUGGUUAUUGUUCCAUUUGUGAUUUUUUUUUUUUUUAUCCUUUAUUAGUGUUUGAGCAGUUGCCAUUAUAUAUGUUUCUUCAUAGUUAUAGUGUAUAAUGUAUCUUCGAUUGCUAGGAAAAUGAUAUCGAAAAAUCACAAAAAUUAUUUUCUAGAUAGUUCAAAUACGCAAAUCAAGUCUAACGGAGCCGAUCGUCGAUUCGGAAGCUCCAUUAUCGAAAACGGCUUAGGAGCACGGAGGCUUCCGUGCUUCUAAUAGCACACAAGACCUACUAUAUAUAUAUAUAUAUAUAUAUAUAUAUAUAUAAUAGAGUUGAGGGCUAGAAUAUAUCGGAUAGCCUAACUGACUCUUUUUGCCACCCCAUUUUUUUCGAUGAUGGACGGCCUCCAAAUCGACGAUCGCACCGGUUUUGGAAAAAAACAUGAAAAAAAUUUUUUAUAUACCACUUGAAAGUGUUUAGAAAUCAAUUUUAAAAUCUUUUUUGACAUAUUGCCUAAUGAUUCAAAGAAGUUUUUCAAAAUUUGUAAAUUUUUAACGGUUCCGAUAUGGAGGCGUUUUAUCUCGUUUAACGCAUAAGAGAAUGUCAAAUCAAUAAUGAAUUUUUGUUUAGAAAAUUUUUUAUUAACGUCAUUUAAAAACAGAGAAUCUAUACUCUUGAUCUUGAAUUAAUUAUGUUUUUAAGAAUAUUCAAUUUUUCAGCCGUUCAUUUUUGUGUCCAGUCGAUGAAAUAAGAGAACAAUAUUGGAAAAUGUAUGAAAUUUGAUUCCUAGAAUACUUCAAAUGGUAUAGAAUCAUGUUCAAACGGUUGCCGAAGUCGUCGAUUUGGAGGCUCCAUCAUCGAAAAACAAUGGUGGCAAAAGAUGCAUUGCUAUCGAUACGUAUAUUCCAGUCAACUCCUUCCUCCUCUCUCUCUCAUCUCUCUCGUGUCUCUCUCUCUCUCUCUAUAUAUAUAUAUAUAUAUAUAUAUAUAUAGAAUUAGGCUACUAUACUAUCUAUAGUAUCGGAGCCCCAGUACUAUAGUGUUGUUUUCGAUCUUAGGGUGUUCAAAUCAACAAUCCACACCGUUAAAUAUGAUCUAGGGUAUAUGAAGAUCUUAGGAAUAAAAUUUUAGUUCUUUUCUAUAUCGUUUACUUAAUAAAUAAAUUAUGUCAAAAUGGAUGGUGGAAAUUGAAUACUCUUUAAAAUUUGAGCAUAGGACUUUUAAAUUCAAGAUCAAGAAUGUUAACCUUAAUCUAUAGAGUUUAAAGUAUUUUCUAUCAAAAUUUGAAGAAAUUUAGAUUCUUCUAUACCGUUAAACUCCAAACUCGUCAUAAUAGCCAUUGAAAAUUGACAAUUUUGAAAUGGUUUGAUUAUAAAGUAAAUUAUGGCCAAAAAAGAGAAAAUUUAAAAUCUAUGAAUGCAUACACCAAAUCAGAUAUUAACGGUGAAGAGAGUAGAUGAGAAAGAGAGAGAGAGAGAAAACGGAACUAUGAGUACUAGUGCGAGAUCGCGUCAUGCACUAAAGUGAUAGUUAGAGAUAUGACUAACUAUCUGAUCUCAACUCAAUGACCACUUAAAAAACUCGCCAUCGCUCGAUCCAUAGAUAUAUAUAUAGAUAUACAGCCCAAAAAGAGAGUAACACUGUUCACCAUUACACAGAUGUCAUUUGAACUUGACUCAGAGAGAGAGUCAGGCUACUAUACUAUCGGUAGCACGAAGCGCUUCCGUGCUACCAAGUUGUUUUCAAUGAUACGACUUCCAAAUCGACGAUCAGCUCCGUUAAACUUGAUCUACACUAUUGAAAGUAUUUGGAAACUAAAUUUCAUAAUUUUUUGGUAUCAAUUACUUAUCAAACGAGUAGUAUAAAAAUGAACGGCUGAAACUAAAAAUCUUAUAAAAAAUAAUGAUAGAAGGCUUGAAUUUAAGAUCAGAGUUACUGAUCUUACUCUAAAUAGUAAAAAAAAAUUUAGCUAAAUUACAGAAAACCCCCUGUCAAAACCCGUUUUUUCACUUUCCCCUCCUGUCAUUUAAAACCUACACUUUGCCCCCUUAUAAAAUAAAAAAUGUGCACUUCACCCCAUACCGUUAGGGUUCCGUUAUAACAAUUUUUUUUAUGCCAAAAAUACCCCUUCGCCCCUCUUUCCUGUUGCUUCGAUGGCUUCCGGGACGGCGCCCUCGCCGGCCUCGCCCUCAUUUACGAGCUCAAUCUCUUCUUCGACCCCCCCUCGACGCUAUCUUCCUCAACUCCAACCGCCUCCUCCGCCGCCGCCCCAUCCCCGCCAACCUCGGCGACUCCCGGCCCCGGCCUCCAUCGUCGUCCUCGCCCACAACAAACUCGGCGGCUGCAUCCCGCCCUCCAUCGACCGCAUGGCCGACACCCUUAACGAGAUCGUCCUCCUCGACGACGGCCUCGCCGCCUACAUCCCGCCCGAGGUCGGCCUCCUCCGCCGCGAAUGAGGAGGAUGAGGGAGAAGACGAAAAUGGCGAAGGGCAAAAUGGUCAUUUUGUCACACCGUACCCCCCUUGUGAACAUUUUUUAUUUUACAAGGGGGCAAAGUGUAGGUUUUUAAAUGACAGGGGGGGAAGUGAAAAAGCGGGUUUUGACAGAGGGAUUUUCUGUAAUUUAGCCAAAAAAUUUUUAUAAAAAUUUCAUCUGAUUUGGAUUGUUUUACAUCGUUAAAUUUACAAAUAUAUCACAUCUAAUAUUAAAAUUGUCAAUUUUGAGACCUUUUGAUCACUAGCCAAAUGAUGUCGAAAAAUUAUUAAAUUUAGUUUCCAAAUAUUUUUAAUAGUGCAGAUCAAGUUUAAAGGAGCUGAUCGUUGAUUUAGAAGCCGCAUCAUUGAAAACAACUUGGUAGUAUGGAGGCCUCGUGUUACCGCUAGUUACCGGCCUAGCUCUCUCUCUCUCUCUCUCUCUCUCUCUCUCUCUCUUUAUAUAUAUAUAGUGUGACUAUGCUAUCGGAAGCACGAGCCUUUCGUGCUUCCAGCUCAUUUUCGAUGUUGCGACUUUCGAAUCGUCGAUCGGCUCCAUUAAACUUGAUCUAGAGUAUUUGAAGUACCUAGAAAAUAAAUUUUAUGAUUUUUUGAUAUCAUUUGCCUACUGAUCGAAGGGGUUCAAAAUCAAUAAUUUUAAUAGCUGUAGUGAGCCGUUUGCAAGUUUAAUGGUGUAGAAAUACCCAAAUCACGUGAAAUUUUGAUAGAAAAUUUUUUGUACUAUAUAAAACAAGAUCAAUAUCUUUGAUCUAAAAUUUUAAUGUCAUAUUAUCACGUUUUGUAAGAUUUUUAUUUUCAACUGUUGAUUUUGAGCCCCUUCGUUCACUAGGUAAAUAAUAUCGAAAAAUCGCAUAAUUUAUUUUCUAGGUACUUCAAAUACUCUAGAUCAAGUUUAACCGAGUCGAUCGACGAUUCAAAAGUCGUAACAUCGAAAACUAGCUGGAAGCACGGAAGGCUCCGUGCUUCCGAUGGCAUAGUAGCCUUACUAUAUAUAUAUAUAUAGAACUAGGCUGGAAUACUAGCCAUGGCUAAUAUACUAUUAUGAGUAUUUUAGCCCUCAUACUCAUAAGUUGUUUUCAAUAAUGGAGCUUCCGAAUCGACGAUCCACUCCAUUAAAUAUGAUCUAGAAUAUUUGAAACUUCUAGAAAAUAAAUUUCGUAAAUUUCCAAAAUCAUGGUCAAGUCCAUCAAGCGGGCAUAAAAUGAACGGUCAAAAUCGAACGACGUCCGAAAAAAGGAUCAAAUCCUUCAAUUCAAGAUCAGAGUUAUUGAUAUUUAUCUAGGUAGUGAAUAGAAUUUUCUAUCAAAAAUUCAACAAAUUUCGAUUCUUUUACACCGUUAUACUAGUAAGUAUCUCAUACCGGCCAUUAAAAAUUGUCAAAUUUGUGACCUCUUGAUCGUAAGGUAAAUGAUGUCGAAAAAUUAUAAAAUUUGAUUUCUAAAAGUUUUAAAUGCUGUAAAUAAUAUUUAACGGUAUGGAUCGUCAAUUCGGAAGCUCUAUCAUCGAAAACGACUUAUAAGUACGAGAGCGAUCGUACUCAUAAUAGUAUAGUAGUCAGACACUAUAUAUAUAUAUAUUUAGAGAGAGAGAGAGAGAGAGAGAGAGCGAGACCUUAUCUGAUAUAUCAUUACAACUUAGUGCACCAACGAAUACCAAAAGUCAACUUGAUAAAUCAAAAUUUUACGAAUUUAAAAUAUUCUAAUCGAGAAAUUACUCUUAAGAUUUUGUUUGGAACUUAGAAUAUGUUAUUCAAUAUAAUUCUAUUUGAUAUGAGGAUUUUCUAUUGUGAUUGAAAGCCAUGUGAUUUGAAUUAGAAUUCAAUUUUCUAUCUUGAAUUUGAAUUGUGACUGCAAGUUAGUUUUGAGUUUGAACAUGAUGUUUAUUUUGAUUUUGAAUUUGAAUUUAAGUUCAAAUUCUAUGUUCAAACUAUAAAUUUAAUUUUGUCUUCAUAUCUGCAUCCAAAUUUAUAUACUAUAAAUUUAAAUUCUAUAUACUAUCCAUAUCUGUAUCCAUAUCUAUAUAUCUGUAUACUAUAAAUUUUGUCUUCAAAUUCUACGUUCAAACUAUAAAUUCAAUUUUAGGGGAAAAACGGAUAAGAUAUUAUAUAUACGAAAAUAUCUGUAUCUAUAUCUAAUAUUAUCUAGAAAAUGUUCGGUUUCGGUCGGGUAUGAAUAUGGAUAUGAUUUUAACGAGCCAAAAUUAUUCAAUUAAUUAUCCAAAAAAAUAGAUAGGAUAUGAAUAUCCGGAUUUUUAGUAGUAUUAUAUUUCGUGGGUUUUUACUUAUGUAUCCCUUAUGACUAUUCAAAUUUUUAAAAUUUACCAUACAAUUAACAAAAUACUCGUUUAAAAUCGAAUUCUGUUAGUAACCCCCAGAAAAAAUUGGGAUAUUUAAAGGAACUUUUUAAAAUCAACAAGUAUGUUUUGGUACUUUAGGAGUUAAUAAGAUAUUUUUGAAAUUUUGAAAGGUAUAUUACAUAUUACCUCUUUAUAUUAAUAAAUUAAAUUACCAUAUUAAUUCCCCAUAUCCCAUUCUCCUAAUCCCAAUAUCCCACUAUCCUAUUCCCCUAUUUCAACAUUGUGCUUUCAAGUUUGCAGAUAUUAAAACAUAAAAGAAGUUACAGAUUAUUUUGUUGGGAAUUCGGUACUCACCCUGGUACCGGAUGUUGAGAAUCCGCAACCUGCUCCGAUACCGACUGCUGUGGAUUCGGUACCGAUUGUUAGGAUUCCACAACGGAAGUGUCGAAUCAGGUUUUAACCAUAAAUCAGUCUCCUCAGCAAAAACUGAUACAAUCACAAAAGAGAGAAAAAUCAAAAUAGAAAAUAUGCGGGUAAAAUAAGAUUCAUUAUGUCACGCCCCGGAUUACUCAUUUUUUCGGGCACGCUAACAGACCCGUCGUAUACAUAAAAAAAUUUUCUGUAUGCGAAGUGAAACAGUAGAAGUAUCUGUAAUCAAACAAUACUUUUUCAAACAGUAGUAUAGAGCUGCUAGGAAAAAUAAACCAUAUAUAAAAAUAGUGGUUCAAUACAUACAUGUCAUCCUGGAUACAAAAAUACUCGCUCUGGCGAGAUACAACAUCUGUAUGUAAAGAACCAAAAACUACAACUACCUGUAACUGGUAAUCCUCUAGCUCUGCGACUCUGGAAGGGCUCUAGCUCGCGACACCCUUACUAUGAUCUGAAUCUGCAACAGGCGAUGGCUCUGCAAAAACAGAGGUAACAACGGGCGUGAGAACUACUGCAAAAAGAAGUAGUCCUCAGUGGGUACCGCCCUUAAACUCAUCGGUUCACCCACCAAGUCUACGGAUAAGUGCUCAACGAUAGAAAAAAAAGCUGGAAUAAAUCUACAGCUAUAUGCCACUACUCUAUCGUAAUCCAACACUACUAUCUGUAGAAUAAUAUUAUCUCAGACCCAAUCUCACUAAGGACUGUAAACAUAUCCAUCUCAGGGACUGUGAACACACCCGUCCCGACCGGUUGCAACUAUACAGCUACAUCCACACUAAGCAGUCCGUGGAGAGCAAGUCCAACCUGCACGAACACCGAACGCAAUCGCACAGCGCUCGUCUCCAGAGUGGCACUCGUGGGAGCUAUCCAACCGAGUAUGCAAGCGUAUCUCUGUCGAGCUCAGUCAGGCUCUCACAAGCCAAAGUCAAGUAAACAAAGUCUAAUAGGUCUAACAACCCAACUUACGUGCCCUUGGCACAAUCUGAUACAAAAAUAGCAAUCUGAGUCCACCGUCAACCCCGACGGCACCCGACACUCCGAAACAGCUUAGACUCUACUGUAAAAAUAAGCUCGGCAUUUUAGCACGAGCGUAAAUGCAUUCUAAACUAUCCUGGAUAUCUACCGCGCUGAAACAGCAGUGAUACAACCAAACCACGACUCCUAGAGCUAAAUCAGGUAGUUUAAGCAUAUGACGGGGUCGAAUCACUAGUUUUUUUCUAAGUCAAAUUCCAAGUCCAACAUGUAUAAUUUAUCCAAUUACUAAGCAUGCUCCAAAUUCAAAUUUCAAUAACAAGCUAAUCAAUGAAUUCGAACUAAUCUUGAUAUACCAAAGCUGAAAUUGUACAUGUCUACUAUGCAUUAUACUUAGAAGGCAAAACCGAUGAUAAACCCACCUCUCGCGCAACCCCACAGCAGCAAGAAGGUUCCGAAUGGCUGGAAGCUUCAGCCGAGAUCACCUACAACUAGCAACUGAGAUACUUGAGAGAUCUAACAUCAAAAAACCCCUCAAAACCAUCAAUCAAAAGCAAUUCAGCCCAAAACUGAAAUCUUGCUCAAUUACAAAGCUAAUUUCACCUUUCAACUCACAAAUCAGGUGUAGAAAGGUCCCAAAAGCAGUGAACUAUGCUGGAGAAUAAUCCUCUGGUUCAAAACCACUCUUUUUCCGAGAUCUAAACACAAAAUCAUCAAAUUUGCAUCAAUAACUCCAAAUUUCAGCACUUAAGCUUAAAUCGACAACUCCAACGUCAAAACUCACCUAUUAUACCCCAAAUUCACAAUUCAGUUGAUGAACACCUUCAAAAGUUAGUAGGGAAUGAUGGCGCAACUUCCACUGGUCGAGGUUCCAGCUCUCUCCACGAAUUGGUCCUUAACAAUCAAGAAAAACUCAAAUUUAAGACCAAAACAUCAGCAGCUCAGAAAAAUCCAAAAUCGGCCAAGCUAACCUCAACCAAAUCCUAUGAAAUUGGGCUCGACGGAUUCCUCUCGAAGUCUAGAAUCCAACAAAUCAAGUUUCAUGGAAAAGGGAGCUUCCUACGUCGCACAUGAGCCGAAACGCUGACGGUCGUUGUUGGAAAACUGCUAGGACAGUACUACUCAAGGAAAACUUGGUGAAUUUUAGCAAAUUUAGAGGAAUUAGAGGGGUUUGGAUGCAAAAUGGCCUUCACUGUGAAAAAAGGGAGAGAAGGGUUCAUCAGGGUUGAGCUCCUCCUAUUUAUAGGGUGCUGGGAUGGUAAAAUAAGCCUUAGGAACUUAGCUGCUAACCUGUUGUUCCUGCAGAAAACAGGGAAUUCGGGCGCCCAAAACCAUCUUCUGGGCUCCGAAACCUCCAGGCUACACAAAGCUUCCCCUUCGGUUCCUCCGGCUGCGGUCUGAUGCACCCUAAACCAGUUCCGGCGGACCUCACCUACCACCCACACGUGUCAACACAAUCGAUACUCACGAGGUGCACUUUCGGACUCACAAUCCGGGCGCCCGAAACAUGGAUCCGAAUUGCCUUCCAAUUCUGUCCAGUUCUGCACUCAAGUUCUGGGCGACCCAAACCCUAUUCUGGGCACCCGAAUCUGGCAAAACUCCAGUUUUGCUUAUUUGAGUUUGCCGAAUCCAUUUCUGCAUCCCUUUCGUGCAGAAAUGACUCCGACUCAGUCCGACACUCUCCAGAUGUGUUGACCAGUCACUAAUACUAUAGCCAAUCCUAUCCAAACCUCAGGAACACUACACAUCAAAUAAGAGAAGAUUACACCUGACUCAUCUUCUAUAAUAAAAUAGCUACAAAGCCUUCUUUCUCGAAUCUCUCAUAUCAUUCUCUCAUCUUUUAUUAAUCUAAAAGACUACUCACUUAUAGACGCAUCCGUACAUAAGGUGCAUCCAACUCACUAUCUCUCUCUCUUUUUCUCUCUCUGGUACGGCACCCAAGGCUCCAACCGUACUCCCUCAAGAGCACACACCUAAUUAAUUAGCCAAUGCAUUAUUUAUAAUGCUCAACUUAAAACGUACCCAAUCCUAUUAAUUAAUAUCUAAAUCUAUCUUAAUUAAUCUCGAAUAAAUUUAAAUAUUAAUCAUAAUUUAGUUAUGUUUAUCCUCUAAUUAAUAUUUAAAUCUUAAUUUAUCUCCAACAUAUUUAAAUAUUAAUUCUUAUCCAAAUAGGAUUCAACUACAAAUCUAACUAAAUUCUAACAAUCUCCACCUUGGUUGGAUUUGUAGUCUUCAACUCCAACGUCGAGCUUACCAUGCAAACUCCACCUUGAGCUUGUCUUCUCCACUCGAUGUUGGCGCAUCUGUCGCUCGGCCUCGAGCAACUGCACUUCCACGAACUUUUGGAACCCAAACGGUUUUCGCUCUCGUUCUGACUGUACUCCCGUUCAAAACGUAUAAGUUUUCGCGCUUGUUCGCUUCGCACAUGACCCGAUCUCAUUUUCGGACCCUCAUAGCUCCACCUGAAGCUGAAAUAUCACAACCCUUUGAGUCCAACGCGCCUAACGAGAUCAAAUUUCGUCUUAAUCGAGGAACAUGUUGCACACCUGUCAGUGUCCUCACGACCUCAUCGUACAUUCAGAUCUUCACCGUACCGACUCCGAAAACUUUGCACAUCGUCCCGUUCCCCAUCAGAGCCUUUCCACCCUUGAUCGCUUUAUAAGUGGCAAAAGACUCUUUCUCCAGACAAACGUGAAAGGAACAUGCCGAAUCGAGCACCCACGCACCAUCCGAAAUUUUAGCACCUCCGGUCGCAGCAUAUAGCACAUCAGAAUCGAUCAUCUCCGAUUCUAUUGCCUGCGCCAUCGCUGUUAUCUCCUCGUCCUGGUUCACGACAGUUUUCUCCUUCUGUCGCUUUAACUCCUUCAGAUCAUCUUGAAGUUUUCGACAGUUGCGCUUAAUAUGUCCUUUCCUGUGACAGUAAAAGCACUCUACCUUAGAUAGCAGCUUCUUCUGUCGAUCUCUAGUCGCCAAUGUUGUCGACUCCUUCUUCACUCUCACCACCAAAGCAGUAUCCCGACUCUGCGUGCCAGACUCCUGAGUCAUCUUCCGCAUCUCGUUCGAGAGAAGCGGAGCAGUGAUCGACUCCACGCUUAUGGUCUCCUUGCCAUAGAGCAACGUUGUCACGCCUCGGGACCCGGCAUAGGCCCGCCCGGUGCGUGCCUAGACCCGCCAUAUGCCUGCACAUAUAAGGCGUCUGCAACAAUAGCGAUAAAUGAACAAGAAUAAAGAGUAUCUAGAGAUAUCAGAGCAAGUAUACAGCUAGAUUCUAUCAACAAGUAGAAUCAAAGAAAACUAAACUACUAAAGUAAAGUGUAAAGUAAUACAUCAUAAGUCUCAUGACACAUCAAAAGGGAUGGUCUCUAUACACAGGUACAAAUGUCUCAACCUCUCCAAAACAAAACCCAAAAGAAAGGUAGACCACCUAUCGUUGAAUCUCUUGCUAGCUAGCUCGAGGCGAUUCCUUUCCCGCGAUCCCGAGCCUCUCCCGGAGUGGAAGGCUCUGAAAGAAAACAUAAAACAGAGAGCGUGAGAACUAUAAUUUAUAGUUCCCAGUGGGCAAUUACCGACCUCAGCACAAUGCACCACUAGGCCCAAAGCAGAUAUGAUAAGCGACUAAUAAACUGCAGGUAUAAAAGCAUGUAUAGAAAUGCUAAACUACUAUGCCGCAAUAUAACAUGUGUCAACAUGGUGUACAUCUAUUCUAUCAUGAUCCAAUAUACUAAUACAUAUCUGGUAUGCUUUAUCAUGGCAACCAAGUAUACUAAAAUGCAAUGAGCAAUACUAUCAAGUAUACUACAUGUCCAAAUGUCCAAUAAAUCCAACUACGUUAUGCUAUCAAGUAGUGAUUGUCAUAAUACUGUUUAAUGUCCUCGUUCAAUCUCAUUUAGGACCUACACAUUUGUAGUCCAACUUGUGCCACCUAGCUGCUUGUGGUAGCCCAUCAUCCCACACUAGAAAUGAGUCUGUCCCAUGGGGCCCUAUAGGCGUCUCAAUCCCGCACGAGCGAGCUCAAGGAUCCGGCCAUCAUGUCCCUAACAUGGAAAUAAUCACUAGCACCCCAAAGGUCUAGUCCAAGUCCCAAAGUAAGGUUCAACCACACAUUAAGUUUAAUGCCCAUUUAUGACAUUUUGCCUUACUAUGUCCAAAUCCAAAUCCAACACUAAUGCCACUUCAUGACAUUAGGUUUUACUAUGUCCAAUCAUAUUCGAAGUCUAAUGCCACUUCAUGGCAAUAUCUAUUCCUAGUCCACAUAUAUGUAUAUGUAUAUUCCAAGACCAAUGCCACUUUAUGACAUUAGGUCCUCUACUAUGCCCAACAUGAGUUUUAAGUCCAAGAGUGUAUUGUACAUGUCAUUUUCACUACAGAAAACAUAAUUCCAAGUCACGUAUAAGAAUGCUAUCCCAACAUGAAUAACUCUCUACUAUAUCGAGGUCCAAAUAUGCAUUAUACAUAACAUGUGCAUUUUAAGCAUUCUAAAAUUCACAAAUAUUCUAUCUAAUAUGAAUAUGCAUGAAGUUCCAUGAUACGACAAGUACAAUCAUCAUAUGAGAAUUUAUCUCAUUUUGGUGAGGCCAAACCUACCAAGUCUCCUCGAAACCCUUCGUUCGCGCCGACGAAGGUGCCCACGACUCUCCUAGCACCCUAAAGAUAAUAUUGGGAGAGUUAAACGAACGAAACGAACAACCCAAAGGUUAAACAUUAACCAACUCAAGAAAAUGGCAAAAACUCACCUAAGUGUAGAAAAUUCCUCUCAAUCCUCAAAUGAGAGCUAGAACCCUUCCAAUCCAACAUAGGGGAAGGUUCUAAUCCAAGCAAUUGAACUCCAAAAGCCCUAAAUCCAAAAUCUCGAAAUAAACCUUAAAUUACUCAUUUCUAGGGUUUCUAUAUAAAAAUCAUACAAAACAUGAUCUAGAGAGGGGGAGAAGGCUACCAAUCUCUAAAGAAGCUUCAAUAAGGCUUGGGAUAAGCUAGGGUUGAAGAUCUCUCGUCCAACAAGCUCCAAUCCAAUCUCCAAGUCUUCUCCAAUAGUGGAAAAGCCACCAAGAUGGAAAAAGAGAGCAAAAGAUGUGUUUAAUCCCCAAAAAUUCCAACCAAAUAGUAGAAGAUCAAAGAGAAGAAGUGGAGGGCUCCUUACCUCUCUCUCCUCUGUUUCCAAACUCAGAAAAACCCCAAAGGGUCGUGGGGGUAUUUGUAGUAAUGUUACAAUUCCAAAAACACCCCUAAAAAACUGCCAGACUACAGUUUGCAAAGUGUACUGGUACACGGAAAAGUGUACCGGUACAACACCCCAGUACGCGCAAACCCGAGUCUCGGGUUGGCAGAAAUCUGCCUUUUGUAUUGGUACAAACCCAAUAUUGUACCAGUACAACCCCUUGUUCCGGUACAACAUCAAUGUUCUACCGGUACAACACUCUGCAGAACCCAACCCGAGAGCAGCCUAAGUCCUUCUCUUUGGAGACCUUAGUGCUAAGUUUUAAACCUCGAUUCUCGAAAUGCGAGGCAUAGGUCGGAACACUGUCAACGACCCUCCAGAAAAUCUGAAAAAAUUCAGAUCAUAGAUCAAACAUUCGAAUCUUGCAAUUUGCACAAGUCCAGUGUGCUACAAACGUGGUCACUAGAUGCUCAUAUGUCGUCUACAGUGAAGAUAAUAAAAUCAGCGCCUUAUCUUCGUCAUCCAGAUUGACUCCGAUGCUAGUCAACUGGGCCACCACCUUGUUGAACUCGUUCAGAUGCUCGUGUAGGCUCGCCGCUUCUUGCAUCUGCAGUGUAAACAGUCGCUGCUUCAGAUACAUUCUAUUCGUCAGGGACUUGGCCAUGUACAGAUCUUUCAAUUUCUUCCACAACUUCGCCAGUGUUGUCUCGCUGGCUACGUUGUAAAGAACCUCAUCUGCUAAUGAUAGAUAAAGCGUACUCAGCGCCUUCCGCUCCAUCUUCGUCCAUGCCGCAUCCGUGACCUCCGCCGGCUUCGCCUUUUUUCCGUUCAACGUCUCAUCUAAUUCUUGCUGUAUAAGGAUUGCCCGUAUUUUAAUUUGCCACAAUCCAAAAUUGUUCUUGCCAUCGAACUUUUCGAUUUCGAAUUUUGUGGCCAUCUUCGUCGAUCUCUCCCGCAGAUCAGUAACCUUUAGAUCUGAUACCAAUUGUUGGGAAUCCGGUACUCGCCCCGGUACCGAAUCUUGAGAAUCCACAACAUGCUCCGAUACUGACUACUGUAGAUCCGGUACCGAUUGUUGGGAUUCCGCAACGGAAGCAUCGAAUCGGAUUUUUACCAUAAACCCGUCUCCUCAGCAAAAGCUGAUACAAUCACAAAAGAGAGAAAAACCAAAACAAAAAAUAUGCGGAUAAAAUAAGAUUCAUUAAAUAAGAGAAUAUUACACCUGACUCCUCUUCUACAAUAGAAUAGCCACAACCUGAACCUUCUUUCUUAAAUCUCUUCUACCUUUCUCUUAUCUUUUAUUAAUCUAAAAGACUACUCACUCAUAGACGCACCCGUGUACAAGAUGCAUCCAACUCACUAUCUCUCUCUCUUUUUCUCUCUCUGGUACGGCACCCAAGGCUCCAGCCGUACUCCUUCAAGAGCACACACCUAAUUAAUUAGCCAAUGCAUUAUUUAUAAUGCUCAACUUAAAAUGUACCCAAUCCUAGUAUAUUUAGGAUUCCAACUUUAAUUAAUAUUUAAAUCUAUCUUAAUUAAUCUCGAAUAGAUUUAAAUAUUAUUCAUAAUCUAGUUAUGUUUAUCCUCUAAUUAAUAUGUAAAUCUUAAUUUAUCUCCAAAAAAUUUAAAUAUUAAUUCUUAUCCAAAUAGGAUUCAACUACAAAUCUAACCAAAUCCUAACAUAUUUGAUUAGUAAUUUGUGUGGGGAGAUAAGGGCUUAAUUGCUACUUGUAAGAAGAUAAGGAAGAAGAGUCUUAUUGUGUUUUUGUGAAAGAUAAUAUAUGCUUGUUGAAAAAUAAUAUGGUUUAUUUUCAUGCUCUUCGUUAAUUUAAUUAUUAGUUUCACAUAAAAAUUGAGUUUGUUAAAUCUUAAAUUGCAUUCAAUCUAACAUAGAUACAUAAAAAUUUCAAUAUGAAUGUAAAACUUUAGUUUUACUGCUGCUAAUUCUAAUACAUAAUGAUAAGUACAUAUUAGUGUAUACUGUUAUUUGAAUAAUAUUGAAUAUUUAUAUUUGAUUCAUAGUCGAAUCCAAAGAAAUAUCCGGCUAUCUGAAUCUUUAUGUAGCUGAUAUGAUAACGAAAAUUUAGCAUCCAAUACAUAUCAGCAUCCAAAUUUGUAUACGAAAAAAGAAAAAAGAAAAAAGAAUAAAGAAUGAGUAUAUGGCUUCAUCAAAUAUCCAGUCAUAUCCAAUCUGUUUUCACCCUUACCUUAAACUUGAAAUUAAAAUUAUGAAUAAAUUUAAUUCAGAUUGUAAUUCUUGUGUUCAAAUUGGAACUCAAAAGUGUAAAUUAGUUCUAUAUUUUGAAUUCAAGUUUCCAUUUAAAUUGCGACUAACCAAUUUAGAAUUAUAAUUUUAAUUUGGAGUUUUAACUAAAUUUGAAUUCUAUGUUUAAACUUAUAUUAUUAUGUUCUGAUUUUAUAAGCUAAAUUUUUAAAUUUUAUGUUAUAUUUUAAUUUUUAAACUUGCAUUUUAUUUUAAAUAUUUUUCUUGCGAUAACUAAAUUUUUUUUUCAUCUCAACCAAACAAUAAAAAUAGAAAUGAACUCUUCUUAGGCUUCGUUUGAGAUUGCGGGGACAUUGCACGUGCGGUGAGAAACAACGAUGAGAAAAUAUUCUGAUUGUUUCUGUACGUAAUAUUGCGUUUCGCAUACUGCGGUUAGUUGGUUACGAUAUAUUUUCUGCGGUCCCAUCGGAGAACGCAAAAAUAUAUUUCUACAUUCUUUUUCUUUUUCUACGGUCCCAUCGGAGAACGCAAAAGUAUACUCCUUCUCAACUCUAUUCUAUCUAAUAGCGUUAGAUCCACCUCAAUAUCAAAUUAAGCCUUAUUUCGAUUAUCCUUGUAAAUCAAACAUACGAGAAGAUUUCAGUGUUCUAUUUCCAAUUCCAGACCAUUCGGAUUAUGAUUUGAACCAAACGCGCCCUUAAAAUUUGUACAGUCAAGAUAUGCAAACCACAAAAGCAGUAAAUGGAGGAAUAGUAAUUCCGCUAAGUAAACGAUGUCGAAAAAAACUAAAAUUUUAUUUCUAAGAGCUUCAUAUACCUUACAUCAUAUUUAACGGUGUGAAUCGUUAAUUUGAACACCUUAAGAUCGAAAACAAGACUAUAGUACCGAAACUCCGAUACUGUAGAUAGUAUAGUAGCCUAAUUCUAUAUGUAUAUAUAUAUUGAUAAUGAAGCACAGCCUAAAUACAGAUACAUUAUACACUAUAACUAUGAAGAAACAUAUAUAAUGGCAACUGCUCAAACACUAAUAAAGGAUUAAAAAAAAAUCACAAAUGGAACAAUAAGCACAAGAAUAGUUGGCACCCAGACACUAUAAUGAUGCUAAAUAAUUGAGAGUGCAUAGAUAUAACUGUUACACGCUCGCUAAAUAAUCCCGCAAAAAUAUUCAGUUUCAUCUCAUAAAUACAGUUCAACCAUAAAUACUUCAGUCGACGAUAGAGCCCAUUCAUAUGAAAAUAGUCCAUCCGUAACAUAUUCCACAUCGCUCGCACAAGUAAUCCGAUUCAUGACACGAUUUCAAGCUUUUCCCUGCAAUAAAGAUAAGACAUUAGCUUCCGCAAUGUGUUAUCUAGAAGUUAUUCAUAUUCUUUCCAUCAAUCUGAAAAGAACCAUCGCAUGUGUCAUCAAAAAGUUUUUACUGUGAUCUACGAUGAUUGAUUUAUAUCAAAUAAAUAAAUUGAUACUUAAUCUACUAGAACAAUUUGAUGUAUCUUAAAUAUUCAUUUAGGGGCUUGCAGGAGCUUGAAGCCGCAAGAUAACUAUAAAAGGUUCAAGCACAGAUAACAGCGAACAGAAAAGACCAUAAAUCCUCCUCCACUCAUGCUUUUCUCAUCAAGUAUUGUACUAUGCUCUUACGCUAAUUGAAAAAUUGCGCCAUAUCUAAAGUAAAAAGUGAUAACGGGAACUGCUUUUUUUAAAAAAAGUAAACAAAAUUUAUAAUAACUUGUCCAAUGUAAUGUUUCCCCAGUUUUAUAUUCGUCUAGUGUGAAGUUUCUCUUGUUUUAUAUCUAAUUUGGAUUUUAAAUGUAUAGAACUGAAAUUACAUCUCCUAAGUGAAUUGUUGUUUUGAACAUAAGAAGUGGAUUGUGCUUGUUCACCAGCUGACAAAUCCAUCGGGCCAUUUCCCUACAGCAGUUGUGCCGUUAGAGGCUUGUAAGCAAGUCUGCACGAGUGCAGGAAUUCAUGGAUGUUUUGUGGAUCAGAAUAACAUACUCGGUGGAAUGCCCUGAUGUACUUUUUAAGUUAAGAAAACUGAAUGGAGGAUUGAUCCUUUCACAGUUCAUCCCCUGAUGGCAAGGUAGUUCGACUGAAGGCCAGCAGUCCUAGUAACCAACAUGCCUGUGAAUCGUGAUGCACAUCAAACGGGUAAAAAACCAAAGAAUAUAAGGUGUUUAGAUCAAAUGAUCCCAAAAUUCACAAUCUCUAAUGGCUACUAGGGGCCAAUUGCUCAUUUGACGGGGUCAGUUACCCUUAAUUUAAGUUAAAAUGAAGUAUAUAUAUAUAUAGAGUCCGGCUACUAUACUAUUAUGAGUAUGAUCGCCCUCGUACUCAUAAGUUGUUUUCGAUGAUAGAGCUUCCGAAUCGACGAUCCACACCAUUAAACGUUAUCUAGAGCACUUGAAACAUCUAGAAAUCAAAUUUCAUAAUUUUUCGACAUCAUUUCCCCUACGAUCAAAAGCUCACAAAAUUGACAAUUUUUAACACCCGGUAUGGAAUACUUGCUAGUUUAACGGUGUAAAAGAAUCUGAAUAGGUUGAAUUUUUUAUAGAAAAUUCUAUUCACUACAUAGAUAGAGAUCAAUAACUCCGAUCUUAAAUUGAAGGAUCCGAUUAUCCAUUUUUAAGACAUCGUUCGAUUUUGACCGUUCAUUUUAUGCCCGCUUGAUGGACUUUAUUAUGAUUUCGAAAAAUUACGAAAUUUAUUUUCUAGAAGUUUCAAAUACUCUAGAUCAUAUUUAACGGAGUGAUUNUAGAAGCUCCAAACCAAGCUCCAAAGUCCUCUAGGGUUGAAGGUUGAUCCUCAAACAAGCUCCAACCAAGAUCUCACACUUCUCCAAUGAUGGAAAACCCACAAAAAGCAAGAAGGAGAAGAGAAAAGAGAUCAAAACUAGCAAAAAUCCAACAAAAAUGGAGAAGAAACCAUAGGGGAGGAGUUCUCACCUGUUCUCCACUGGUCUAGGGCUCAAAGGAGCUCACAAAGGGGCUGGGGUGACAUAUAUAGAUGUUGUAACAAUUGCAAACACCCCCCUGCCCGAACUGCAGCCCAGACUGCACUGUGUACCCGUACACGGGUUUGUGUACCGAUACACCACCCACGAAAAGCCAACCCGAGCCUCGGGUUUGCUGGGACAUAGCCUGUGUACCGGUACACGGGCCCGCGUACCGGUACAACCAUCACAACGUACCGGUACAGCCAUCAAGUCCGUACCGGUACACUGCCCUCUAAAGGCUACCCGAGAGCUAGCCAAAAAUCCAACUUUUUGGAUUUUGACGCAAGGUUUUAAACCACCAUUCUCGGGACUCGAACCAUAGGUCGGAACACUGUCGACGACCAACCAGAAAAUCUGGAAAAGCUCAUAACCCAUUCAAUCACUCGAACCCAGCAAUUUGUAAGGUCCAGUGCGUCACAAUAUAUCAAGUCACAUCCAAUGUUGAAUUGAGUAAUGUUUCCCUUGACUUCUUUUAUGCUUGUUCAGUUUCUACAAUUCAUUUGGUCGAUGGACAAGACAAAUAAAUUAUAAUUUUCUAAAAUUAUGGUAUUCAAUUCCUAGAAUCUUGAAAUCCUAUAGAUCAUGUUUGACAGAGUAAAUUGUCGAUUUGGAUGCCUAGUCAUUCAGAGUGAUCCGAUUUUACCAACUUACUGAUUAAACCAUAGCUGAGAUACUAAAAUAUACCUCUAUCCUACUACAAUGCCAAUAUAUUACCAAAAUACUCCUAUACUUCUAUAAAUAAAUCAAAACAAAAUGCCACAGCCUCAUCCACGAUUCCGCGCUGAUUUAACAUCCCUCAUUCGAUGUAAUACACUGGACUUUCGCAAAUUGCGGAGUUCGAGUAUGUGGAAUGGUGUGUGGAUCACUCCUACAUGUUCUAAAAGGUUAGAACAAGUUUUUGGAUAAGUUUGAGAGUGAUCGGAAUGUCGGAAACAAGAAAGUGCAUUGCUCGGGCGAAAAUCAGCAUUUUCUGCUUGGUGUACCGGUACAGCCAUUAUGGUGUACCGGUACACAAUGCAGGAACGUGGCAGCUUGGGUAUUUUGGUAAUUUCACAUUUGACACCUACCUAUUUGAUCCCAGCACGACUCUUGGAGCUUGCUGGAGUGUGCUAGAGCCCAGAGAAGCAACCUUGCACCAUUUUCUCUCUCUCUCUCUAGGGUUUUUCUCUCUCUACAAAGAAUUCGCCGAUUUCGCUCGUUUUCGUCGUCGCGCGCAUUCUUCGCUGGUUGCGAGCGUCGCAGCACCUUUGUGCACGUGCAAGAGAGCGUUUUGGAGGGAUUUUCGCAGCCCUGGACCAGUGAGGUGCUGGUUGGAAGCUUGAGAAGGUAAACGACUUGAUUUUUCCNUUAAUCUAAAACUGCCCAUUGACCUGUCCAUACACAUUACACAACUGGCCCACUCUUCUCUAUCUUCAUGUAUACUUCAAUCAUAAUUAAUUUAAACUACACAUCUACGUAUCUAUAUAUAUCACACAAGUGGCCCAUUCUCCCAUUUCUUCGUACAUUGAAAGGUUUGUUACUUGUUCAUAAGCAAAUGACUCUUUUGAAUUCCCGUAAUUCGGAAACUAUUAAUUGCAUUAGUAAAAAGCUAUACCUCAUUCCUCACUUUUCUUCAUCUCUAGAACUGCAGGCUCAACUUAAGGCUUGCUGGUUGGUACCUGCGGCCCCAAGUUCGAAGCUGUAAUAUCCCAGACGAUUCGCAACCGCCAGUGAUGAGAAUUCUCUGAGGUUUGGUCGGCGAUGAGGAUGAUGGGCACUCGCAAUAAGGGAUCAGGUGAGAAGAGAAGGAAUUGAGGUGAAAGAUUAGAGAGGAAAAGAGGAAGAGAUGGGGAUGAGGUAAAGGAAGAAGAAGAGAGAAGGGAAUAGAAGCUUGGGGAAGAAGUACUUGUAAUUAAUUCAAUGUAUCUCUUCCUUACAACUCCUGGCUUAUAUAGCCCCUCCCUAAUUACAUUGUUUAGGUUAAUUAACUAUGCUAAUUAGCUAGUAAUAAACUGUAGCAGCUGCAAAAGAUAUAGUUAUACGUGGGCUUAGUAUAGGCUCCAUCUUCUCGGGCUUGGACCGCCUCUUCUCAGUCCGUGGCUCAACAUGGUCACCGGGGUUGAAUUCGGGUAUGCUCUCUUCCCCUCACCCAAUGCCCGUUCCCCGACCACCCGAUCCAACUUAACCCAAUCCCCUUUAUUGUUUGGGAGCCUCAGAUACUGCAGACCCUCCAGAUUCUUUGACCCUGUUCUACCAUGUUCUUCUAUUUCUCUUGCUACUAUGCCAUUGCGCCUUCGCCGGUCUCCCCCUUUCGGUGCUAGGCCAUUACAGAAGCUUAGUUGCUUCACAUUUCAGCUAAGUUCAUUUCUUAAAAAAAAAUAAAUAAAUAAAAGAAAAUGAACGAAGCUUGUAGUAUGCUACCUUCCUCUCAAAAAGCUUAGGAGGUCAAUAGCACAAUCCGAGUUCACAGUCGAAAGAGCUCUAUUAGAGGUCACCCCUACUCUUUUGAUGUGGUUAAUGAUUAUUAAGUUUCUCAACCUAAUCCUUUCACCUUUUAGAGACUUUAAUCAUUUCAGUUGGUGUUGCACUUCUACUUGUUUCUAGUUCUCAUUAAGAUGUAUUGCUUAUAGAAGAUAGUUUCAAUUUCGCAUGUUCAAAAGUAAGGCUGCAUAGCUCUUGUUUAGAAAGAAGGAGAAGCGCUAGUCCAAGAGUGAAGGAAGGAAAAUCACAGGGAAGAUAUAGCCGCCUUUCCACAGUCAAUGCCAUAUCUAAUUCUAGCUGGCAAACUAACCACUAGAAAAUAUUUUAAACAAGAAAAGUAUCUAGAGUGUCAAACCCACUUCCUCUAUUGCUAAGCAAAAACCAACCUACCACAAGAGAAACAAGAAAUUCUCAAGCUGACCCACUUUCGACAUUCGAAUACCCACUACUCAGGUUUUCACAUCCAAGGACAGGGAAUAAAAGUCAAGAGAAUAGAGAAGUAAUAAAUACUAAAGGGCAUAAACAUAAUCAGCUAAGCUUUACGGUCAAAGGGCACUAGCAUGGGGUGCGCCGAUGUGCCAUUGACACUGCAUAGCACGCCUCGGCAGAACGCCUGUUUUAGAUGUCGGCACAGGUUGCACGGGUUUAUCAGCAUGGGUGGCAUGUGCAGUACGUCCCAACAGUACCAGACCGUGCCGACUGCCACGACAAUACUUUACACGCUAGAAACUUUAUAGUUCUAUACUAAACCAAUUUAUUUAUUUAAAUUAAUAAGCCAAAAUUUGCAAAAAAAAAAAAAAAAAAAAAAAAAAAAAAAAAAAAAAAAAAAAAAAAAAAAAAAAAUUUGCAAAAAAAAAAAAAAAAAAAAAAAAUCUUACUUUUCGUUCACAAAGUCAUUUAUUAGUCCUUUCAUUAAUUUUAAUUGGUCAAUGUUAAAUUCGUCUUUGAGUUUAAAUAAAUAAGGUAAAUUAAUCCGCAGUCACUAGACUCCUAUAAUCCAGAGUCUCUACACUUCUAACUGAAAUUUGAGUUCCCCGAUGAUAAGGGCAUUUCAACUGAGGCACCGAGCUUCAAUUCUACUUCAAAUAAGUAACUUUGUUCAAGUCCAUACCAAUUUUCUCCAAAUAAAAUGACUAGGUGGCAACUAAUUUGGUUGCAAGUUACAACAUCGCCUGGAGGUGCCAUCGCUACUACUUUUAUCUUUUGAAGAUGAUUUUGGCUACUAAUUCACUCGGCAAAUCACCUUUCGAAAUGUUGUAAAAAAAAGCUUAUCUAUAAGCAGUUAAAUCAGUUAAGGGUGGUGAUAGCCACCGUUCCGAGGAGGUAUACGGAGGAAACGUGAUUGAAAUAACAAUUACCGUUGUUCAAUGAUGAUUAAAUGAAACUAAUUAAAAUUUGACAAUCUAAAUGAAACUCCAAACAAAUAGAUAGCAAAACCAGCAUCAAGAAGAAGAAGAAGGCAUGGAUCAAAUUAGUGCGAGUCCGAACCUAAGUUAGGAUAGAGAUGGCGAGAUCCAGACAGGCGGAGGCCAGUUGAAUCGAGGGUCGGGAGAAUGGCAGGGCUGGAGACUGGCAUCUUCGAGGCAGUAUAUCCCGACGUCGCGCCUCGCCAGUCUGACCUCCUCGCUGUACAGCAUGUCCCACCAGUCGUCGGUGAGAUAGACGCAAUUCGGCCGCAGCCCGCGGACAUCUUCGGGCGAGAGCAACAUGGAAGAGCCGAUCCCGAGGAACAGAGCUCGGCCGCCCAGGCUGCUGAUCGGAAUCCAUCGAUUUGUUCCCCAGUCGAGCCUCAUGACCUUGAUUUCGCAAGUCGUCAAGGUUUUCGCGACAUCGUCGAAGUCGAAGUUCCUCCACACCUGCAGGAGAUCGCCGGUGGCGUCGUCGGCGACGAGGUACCUCCUGUACUGUCCUGCGACAAGGGGGUCGAACUGGCUGGCGACGAGCCUGACGACGUCGGCGUAGCCUCCGCUGAGGUCGACGGCGAGCAGAUCCCCAUUGCCCGACAGAGCGAGGAGGCUGCCGCGGCGGAAGGCGACGUCGUGGAAGCGCCAGCCGUCGUCGUGGAGGCGCCACCUGUCCGCCCCCGCGGUGGUGAACGCGAGCUUCGACGCGAUGCCGUAAAGGGCGACGACGGUGAGGGGGCCGCCGGCGGCGGGGCUGGAGGAGAAGGCGACCUUGUCGAAGGAAAGGCCACGGAACUCCUCGGGCUUGUAGUGGAAGUAGUAGUCGGUGGGGUCGGAGAAGUGGAAGUAGGAGGCUACGGAGCCGUCGGGGGCGUAGGAGGGGUGGAUGUCGGGGAGGGUGGUGAUGGAGGGUAGGGGGAUUUCUUGCCCGGUGAGGGGGUUGAGGAGGGCGGGCUCGGAGAAGGGGUCGAGGGUGGCCAGCCAGCCGUGCUGGGAGCCGACGCAGUACUUGCCGCGGAGGCCGGGGACGGGCAGGCGGUGGAGCGUCUGGCCGGGGAGGCCGAGGAAGGUGAACUCGUCGCUGCGCUCGCCGUCGUCGUCGCCGCCGCCGCCGAGGAGAAGGAGGUAGGGGACGUGAGGGGACGGCGGGACGCCGGACACCGAGUGGGCCCAGAGCCGGCAGACCUUGCGGAAGGCCAUGUAGUCGAUCGCCGUCAGACGCGCCGCGAUGGCCGCCAGGACGCCCGACGAAAGGUCCGUCCAGUCCCUCGCCAUCGUGCGCACCACAAAGUACCUAACGUGAAGCGCCUGCUCGUCUUCAGAUUUGCGAAUUGAGACCACCCAACUCAACUCGACUCCUCUCUCUCUCUAUAUAUCUAAAUAAUUAAUACUAGUAAUCCUAUUCGAUCCUAUUCGGAUUCGUAUUAUAGGUCUACUCAAAAUGGAUGUUUAGAUUCCGAUAUAUUAUUAUUACGAAUAAUUAUCUAUAUACCCUUCGAAAUUUUAAAAAUAUCUAGUUUAUCCUUAUUUUUUUCUUUCUCAUAUAUAUCUCUCCUAUGUUCCCAAAAUCCCACGUUAUUAUGAAAUAUCUCUAUAGUUAGCACCGUUAAGUUAACUUGACGUGAGUUAAAUAUCUACAAAAGUUUUUUAAAAAAUCAAAAUAACUUUUUUGCUCUUAACUUAGGAGCAAAUAAGAAAUAUUGUUGAUAAUAGAAGGGUAUAUUUGAAAGGGCAAUUUCAUACAGAUAAGCUAUUGCUAAUAUUUUAUUAACAGAAUUUAACUCUGGGAGUAUAUUUGAAAUAGGUUGGAAUGUAAAAAGAGUAUUUUCAAUAUUAGCAUUAAGUGGGGUAAAUUAGAAAGUCGGAAACUUGUUAGGGGUAUAUAAGCAAUUAUUAUUAUUAUUAUUUUAUUAUUAUUAUUAUUAUUAUAUUAAAAAAACUUGUAUAAUCUGCCUAAAUUCUUAGUAUAUUGUUUAGUUCAAAAAUAAGAUAAUCUUACCUAUAGGAGAAGCAAAAAUUAAAAUAAUUUUUUAUUUAGAUGAGAAUUGGAUUAUUCAAAGAGAUAAGAAAAAUACUUUCCGAUGGUUCGAUUAGAAUAAUAGGAAUAACAUUUAUUAUAACUACAAAAUAAUAAUUUUUAUUUUAUUAAAAUAAUAAGAAUAGAAUUAUUAAUAAAAUAAUAUUUUAAGAAGUUUGUUAAUUAAUUAACUAGGAAUAUUGUAAAAGGAGAUGGAGAAGCAUGUUAAUUAGUUAAUUAAUUAUAAAAAAUAAAUUAAAUAGGUUAACUAAUUAAUUAAUUAUUUAGUAAGUGACAUAUUUACAUAAUAAAUUAAUUAGUAUAAUUUAAAAUAUUUAUUAGGAUAGUUUUCAGUUAUAAAUACGAUCCAGUUUUCCACCAUUAGAUCUCCUUUUUUUUAUCCAUUACAUCUUUUAGAUCAUGCUAUUAUGCCAACCACCCAACAAACCCUAUACAAGAUCAGCUAUAAGAUUUUACUGUUAUGUAUGUGCUAUCAAAGUUACAAUUUAUAUGCAUGUAUGUGCUAUCAAAGUUACAAUUUAUCAAUUACAUCCUUUAGAUCAUGCUAUUACUCCUGAACUGUCCGCUCACCCUGCUGGAUUCUCUUCAAAUCCUCCUCGAUCUUCUGUUUCAUACUGUUGGGAAAAUACAUCCCAUACAGCAUUCCACAGAACUCAUCCCACCUCAACUGCGUCGCCACCAGUCCCUGGUCUCGCCUCGCUCUCCGCCACCAAUCAUGUGCAUCAUCGGAUAGACAGUGUACUCCCAGAGGUAUCUACUCCCCCUCUGGAACGAAUAGAUCCUCAAAUAACUUCUCCAUCGCACUGACCCAUCCCUCAACAAUCGAGGCCUCAGUGCCUCUGCCAUCGAAGAUCGGUGGAUCAAAUCGGCGAAAACGAGCUAACAUCUCCGUCCACCGCUCCUGCUCGGCCUUAGUCAACAGUACUGGCCCCUAGCAGGCGCAACUGGCGCUACUGGAACUGCUGCCGAUGGAGGAACUGCUGCAGCUGGUGCUGUCACUGGAGUAGUCGGGGGUGGAACUGGCGACUCUGGUGGCCUCGGUACAGAACUCUGGGGCGCAACCAACCUCUUGCACAUCCUCUCCAAUAACUCCCCCUGCCGUCUCGUCACCUCUGUCAGAGCGGCUAACUGUGCACUCAAAUCCGGGGAUGCACUCGCCUCCGGUCGGGCCCUCUGCUCCACAACUGGGGGUGCACUCGCCUCUGCCUGCUCCGGCAUCUCCGGAGAUCUAGCACGAUCCUGCGCCAACUGCGCACGCUCCCGCAACGACGGUCGGCCUCAGCGACGAUACAUAGCUGUAAAGAACAAAACAGGGGUCAGAUACAAAAAAACACUCUCGACCCAAUCAAACGAAAGUCUAGAAGGCGGCCCCUGUUUCUCCUCAAAAUUAUGUCGUCUGCAGCCAACAUAAUUUUUCAGGACAAAACAGGAACUCCUCCAAUCACUCACUCCACUCUAGGAGGAGUUAGAACCACAAAUCGUUGACUUUCGCGAUAAAUCAUGCCUCUCGCGUCUUGCCUUCCUAAGGUUUGCCAAACUUAGGAUUUCUAGGUCCCAACGACCUACAACUAAGCUCUGAUACCAACUUAAUCUGUCACGCCCCGAACUACACGUUCCCCGGGCGCGCCGACAAAUCCGCCGUAUACAAAAGAAUUUUUCCUGUAUACGAAGCGAUAGCUGUACCUAUAAAUCAUACGAUACAACAAACAGUAGUAUAGAGCUGCUAGAAGAAACAGAAGAAAUACCAAACUAAGUUCCAUAUAUAUAAACCAAAAUCCAAGAUACAAAAACUACUCGCACUGGCGAGUUAAAGAUAGGUAUGUACAUAAACUCCAUCAAAACAACUACCUGCAGAAGGGCACCUCUAGCUCGGCUCGUCGGGUAGGGCUCUAACUCGCGACGCCCUUGCCUCGAUCCAGAUCAGCAAUAGCAGCAGCCGAAGACGAUGGCUCUGCAAAAGAUGAAGUAACAACAGGGCGUUAGAACUACUGUAAAAAUAAGUAGUCCUCAAUGGGUACCGCCCAAAACAAUAUCGGUCCACCCACUAAGUCUACAGAAGGGAGCAAGAAUAGUAGUAAAUGCAGGAAUAAAGUCUACCGCUAUCAAACACUACACUAUCAUGCUCUACACCGACCAACUGUAGAAAAAUAUUCAACCUGACCCAAUCCAAUCGGGACUGUAAGCAUACCCGUCCCCGGGACUGUGAAUACACCCGUCCCUGCCCCGUUGCGACUAUCGAGCUCUAUCCACACUAACUAGUCCUUGGAGAGCAAGUCCAACUGGCAUGAGCGACACCAAAGCGAAAGCACAUAGCCUGACUCCGGAGUGGCACUCGUGGGCGCUACCCAACCGAGUAUGCAGCGUAUCUCUGUCGAGCUCAAUCAGGCUCCAACUAGCCAAAGUCAAGUGAACAAGGUCAAAACAGGUCUACAAACCAAACCCACGUUCCCUCGGCACAAUCUGUGACCAAAACAAGAAUCUGGGUCCACCGCUAACCCGAACGGCACCCAACGACCCGAAACAGCCUAAACUCUGCUGAAAAAUAAGCUCGGCAUCCCAGCACGAGCGUAAAUGCCUUCUAAACUACCCCAAGUAUCCAUCGCACUAAUACUGCAACGAUAUAAUCGAAUCUCGGCUCCUAGAGCUAAAUCUGGUAGUUUAAGCAUAUGACGGAUCAAAACGCAUGUUUUCUCCUAAGUCGAAUUUCAAGUCCAACAUGUAUAAUAUAAACAUUCAUUUCAGCAUGCUUUUAUAUUCAUAUUACAUCCAAAAUGCUAAUCGAUGAAUUAAAGCAUGAUAUACAAAAAUCGAACUAUACACGUCGACUAAACAUGCACUUAGGAGCGAAACCGAUGAUACACCCACCUUUAGUGAAAAUCCUGGCAGCAAGAGGGUCUCGGAUCACAAGCAACACUGCUGGAAACACCUCCAAACCAGCAACAAAGCCCCUCAAGAUCUGGAUAUAACAAUUCACCCAAAAUCCAAUAAAAUUCAUCAAUUUCAGCCUUAAGCUUAGGAUUUCUCAAUUCCAAUGUCAAAACUCACCUAAUGAUCUCCAAAUCAGGUGAGAACAAUUCCAAAACCAGCAAAUACUGAGAGGUGAUCAAACUCAGGUCCAAAAUCCUACUUCCAACAAAGAUAGCAUCAAGAAAAGUUCAAAAAUCCCAUUUUCAGCUCAAAGUCAAUAGCAGUCUAGAAAAACUUCAAUUCGACCAAGCUAACCUCAACCAAAAUCUACAAUUCAGGGCUUCGUGGAUUCCUCUGGAAGUCUAGAAUCCAGCAAACCAAGUUUCGUCGAAAUCCGACCUUCCUACGUCGCGCACGAGCCAAAACACUGGAGGUCGUCGCUGAAGAACUGCAGAAUCAGCACUCCAUCAAGCUGGAUCAAUGGAAAUUUGAUGCAAUUUGAGGCAAAUCCGAGUGUUGAGAUGCUAAAAGGGACUUCUCUGUGAAGAAGGGAAGGAAAAAGCUCACCAGGGUCACCUUCCAUCUAUUUAUAGGCUGCUGGAGGAAUAAGAUAAGCCCCAAGAGAAACAGCUGCUAUCCAGUACUCAUGCAGAAUCGGGCGUUUCCGGGCGCCCGGAACCAUGUUCUGGGCGACCAGAACAUCCCGACUGCACAAAACGGGCUCCUCGGACUCUCCGCUCGCGGUGUGCUGCACCCGUAAAUGGCUCCGGCGGAACUCACCUACCGCCCUGCCACGCGUCGAAGCAAGCGGUAUUCACGAUGUCGAAUUUCCAGACCCACUUCUGGGCGCCCGGAACUUGGGAUCCGAAUUGGCUUCCAGUUUCAGUUAAAUUCAACACUCGUUUCUGGGCGACCCUAAAAAUGUUCUGGGCGCCCGAAACUGGCAAAACUCCAGUUUUGCUUAAUUGAGUGCGUCGAGUCCAAUUUUGCAUCCAAUUCGUACGGAAUUGACUGCGACUCAGUCCGACACUUUCCAGAGAUGUCGACCAGUCACUAAUACUGAAGUCAAUCCUAUCCAAAUGUCAGGAACACUACAAUAUACAUAUAUAUAUAUGUAUAUGUAUAUAUAUAUAUAUAUAUAUAUACUAUAUAUAUAUAUUAUAUAUAUUAUAUAAUGAGAGUUCCGGCUACUAUCUAUUAAUAGCAGCAAGUACUUGUGUGCUACCAAGUUUCCUGCCGUUAGAUUCUACCUUUUGAUCAUGUUUGUUCACCCGUUAGAUCAUACUUCUCAAGCCAAGUUGUUUUUUCUUGAUGUUGGGUGCUUCGAAUCGACGAUUGGCUCAUGAGUUGAUCUAGAGUAUUUGAAGUAUCCUAUAAAAAUAAUUUUUCGAUUUUCGAUAUCAUUUGCCUAGUGAUCCCAAGGAGCUCCAAAAUCAUCGAGAUUGAAAAUAAAAAUCUCCAAAAUGUGAUGGAAUGACAUUAAAAUUUAGAUUCAAGAAUUGAUCUUGUUUUAUAUGGCUAUAAAAAAUUUUCUAAUCAAAUUUUUCAGCUGAUUUGGAUAUUCAUACACUGUUAAAUCGUUGCAAAAGGCUUACCAGCCGGCCAUUAAAAUUAUUGAUUUGAGGCCCUUCAACAUCACUAAGGAAAAUGAUAAUUGAAAAAAUACAAAAGUUAUUUUCUAGGUACUUCAAAUACUCUAGAUCAACUCUCAAACGAGAGCGCGAAUCGUCGAUUCGACAAGUUCGAAAUGCGAAAAACACUUGAAACGCACGGAGGGCUCCGUGCUUCCAUAAGCAUACCAGCCCACUCUAUAUAUAUAUUAUAUAGGUACAUAUAGAGUGCAGCUAGAAUAUCUCUAAUAGUCCCUAAUGUAUGUUGUGUCUUUUUGAUUUUUAUGUCAUGAUAUGUGUUAGUAUGUUAUUGGUAUAUGAUGGUAAGGUGGUGGAGAGUAGAAUAGUGUUUGCAUCCAAAGUUUAUUUAAGUAAAUUCAAGGAGUAGACUCAAGGGAUAGAAAUUAGAAGCACCAAGGGCUUGAUGCUUCUAAAAAGUAUUCUAGCUCUAAAAUAUGAUAUAAUUAUAUUAUAAAAGUAUAUAUAUAUAUAUAUAUAUAGAGAGAGAGAGAGAGGAGAGAGAGAGAGAGUUGAGCUAGAAUACUAUCGGUAGUAAACGAGCCGUUUUACUACCGAUUUGUUUUCGAUGAUAGAGCUUCCAAAUUGACGAUCAACUCUGUUAAAUAUGAUCUAAACCAUUUAAACUACCUAGAAAUCAAAUUUCACGCACUUUCGAUAUUGUUUUUUUAUCCAUCAAUAAAAGUGAACAGAAAAAUGAAUGGCUGAAAAUGAAUUACUCUUUAAAAAAUGAUGAUAGGAGUCUUGUAAUCAAGAUCAAGAGUAUAGAUAUUAUUUUAAAUAGUUUAAAGAAUUUUCUAACAAAAAUUCAUUUGAUUUGGAUAUCUUUACGCCGUUAAACGAGAAAACGCUUCUUAUCGACCAUUAAAAUUACAAAUUUUGAAACCCUUUGAUCGUUAGGCAAAUGAUGUCGAAAAGAUUUGAAAUUUGAUUUCUAAACACUUCAAGUGGUAUAGAUCAUGUUCAACGGAGCCGAUCGUCAAUUUGGACUUUGGUUUGGAUUAGUUUUUUUUUUUAUUUGGUGCUGGUCUAUAUGAGGAGAUCCAUGUAGUUUGGAGUGUGGGUUUGAACUUUGGUUCUUAAGUUUCAUGAAGAUCUGAAUUGGUUUUGAUAAAUUCUUAGUCCAGGCUUGAUCUGAUUUUGGCAUUUUUUUUUAUGGUCUAGUUUGGGUUAGAUUUGUAUUCAAACUUGGGCCUGGGCUUGGUAUGGUUUUAUGUAAUUCAAGUUAAGGUUCAAUUUUGCUAUGGAUCCAGACAUGGACUAAAUUCGGGCCCAUAUAGUUUGCAUUCAGGCAUGGGCUAAAUUCAGGCCCAUAUAGUAUGGAUUCUUCAGGUUUAGGGCUAAAUUGUAUUUAAGUUCUGGAUGUGGGCUCAGGCUCAAUUUAGGCCCAGAUGGCUUAGGUCCAUGUUUUCUUUGGGCAAGCUACAAAAUUGGACUCAAAUUCAAGUUUGGGCUGAACUUGGGUCAUGUGAUUUAGAUUUAAAUUUGAGGUGAGUACACCUUGGUCCCAUACGAGAGAUUUUUUUUAUUUUGAGGUGGUUAGUUUGAGAUUAUUUGGGACUUUUUCGAGAUCAAAAUAUUAACCUCAAAAUUUUAAAUAUUUGAUUCAGAAUCAAAUUCAAUGCUUAAAAUUUUGAAUGCACUUUUUUAAAUUUUCAAAUUCUCAGUUAUGAGUAACGAAAAUUCAACUCACAUUAAUUAUAAUGAAAAGAUUAAAAUCAACUUCAACAUCAUGACUUAAUUUAAUUUGGAGCAUAAAGCAUCCAAUGCGAUUAAAUCUCAAUUUGGUCUAAUUUGGUCAAAUCGAGAGGUUCGACUCUGGAUAGAAUCAAGGGGGGGUCGAACAUCCCGUUGUUUUUCCAAUAAAAGGACGAUGAAAAGAGUAACAAUCGGUAACCCGAUUGAUUUCUUUUGCCUCCCAAUUAUGAGAGCAUUUUUCUCUCUUUAUCUUCUUUGAAGGUAUAGAACAACAAAUAUGGAUAAUCCUUUUUUGCCUCUUUUAUAUUCAUGGGACAACUAAGGUGGAAAAAUUCCCUCCUUGCCUCCCUUUUAGUAACAAAGCUCCUCUUUCCUAAUUGGAGGAGUAAUUUCUCUCUCUCUUUUGGUAACAUUUUUUUUUUUUUUUUACAAAGAGAAGAGCACUGCUCUCUCUCUUUUGAUGACACAUUUUUUUUUAUAAAGAGAAGAGCACCGCUUUCUCUCUCUAUAUGCAGCUUAGGUUCGCCGUUGAAAAAUGCAUCUUGGGCAUUUCAUCGAAUAGUUGGUAGGCAUGGUGCGUUGUGCAACACCGGUCUCAAGAUUGCAUUGGAGUUGCAGCAGAGUUGCAGAUAGAGGUCACAACAGAGUUGGAGGUCGCGGCUACGACAGAGUUGAUGCAUCGGCAAUGUCGAGGGUGAAGGCCGUCACGGCAUGUAAGUUGAGGCGCAACGGCAUUAGAGAUGGGGUUGGAAAGCAUGCAGGUUGGUGUCGAGGGCGGUGGACUCGGGCACUCCAUUGACGGCGGUGUUGAGCUCAACCAUCUUUGCCUUGCUCGCACGAGAUGAUGCGAUUACGAUAAUAUGAGAAUUGAGGCUAUGGCAUGCAACCAUGAUAGAGAGAGAGGACUUUUUUUUAGAAGAGAGAGAGAACUUGUUUUUUUUAAAAGAGAGAGAAGACUUUUUUUUUUAUAAAAGAGAGAGAGCUUUGUCAUGAAGCAUCAAUAGGAAAAAAAAUUGUUAUUAUUACCUAUUUUUCUUCUUCUCUUUCGUGAAGAGAGAAUAGGUAAUAGGAUGUGUGUUUUUUUUUGUUGAGAAUAGGUUAGAAAGUAGAUUCAAAAGUAGGUUCCAAAGUAGGUUUUUUUUGUGGGUGAUAUUUAUGGGCCAAGUUAUAACUACUUGGGAUUUUUUUUUUGAAGAACGUGCAUAUGGUGGGGUUGUGGGAGGUGUGGGAAGUUGAGAUAUUUUGGCCUCUUUUGUACGGUUAUGGGAUCAUGGAUAUGAUGAUAUUGCAAAUUAGCCCCUCUUAUUUGUUUAUAUUAUUUUUUUUACUUUAGUUAUAGUAUUUUAAAAGUAAAUAAAAUAAAAUAGUAAAAACUAAUAUUUUUUUAAAAUAUGUAUAUAGAUACGCAUGUGUUUACUAAUUUUUUUACUUUAUUUUAUUUUAUUUUUUUACAAAGCAAAAUAUUUAUAUGUUUUUAUUGAAGUGGAGCACCUCACAAAUAUAUAAAGGCAAAGGACUAAUUUGCUAAUUUGUAUAUAUGGAAUAGCCAUGUGCCUAAGAGAGAUAUUAGCGUUCUCUCUUUUCCUUUUUUUCAGUAGUCUAUGCACCUAGUGCAUAGAUUAACCUAUGCACCAUGUUCCUAAAUUUUCUACCAUUCAAAAGUUGGAUUCAAAUUUUCUCUCUCUUUUUUUUUUAUGCUUUAACACCAUUCAAUCGAGGGUUCCAUCUCCCGCCGGCUACCCUCACGCCUUCCGCUGUGGGAGUCCAUCGUCGCGAGGAAGCACGUUCCGAGGAAUAUCUUAGUGGAGGGCUCCCGCCGUCGUCGGCCUCCACCGUGGGGUUCGACCUUCAAGAAGCACUUUCCGGGGAACUGAAUGGCGAGGUCCCGCCGCCGUUGGCCUCCACCGUGGGGGCCGACCUUCAAGAAGCAUUUUUUGGAGAACUGAAUGGAGAGGUCCUGCACCAUCGGCCUCCACCGUGGGGGCCGAACAUCAAGAACCUUUCAAUUGAGGGUCUCCGAAGUGCUCCACCUUGACGGCCGACCUCCAAGUGCUCCCCGACAAAACUUUCAGUAGAGGCCUGUCUCUCCACUCAAUCUGUCGUCGCUGAUGGCGAAACUGUCCGCUUCUAGAGUCCACCGCCAAGGGUGGCCGGCCAACCUUCGGAGAUGGACUCUCCACCCCGUCAUUGUCCUACUGCAGCAACCGACACCGCUGUGGAUGCUGCCCUCCAUAUCAAGGGCCCCUCCUCAAAGGUGACAGGCCAGCCUCCGGAGAUUCCCUGGCGGUUCACAAGUCCUCACCCUCCUCCCGAUACAGCGAAACCUCUCUCUUGCCAAUGUCCCACCAAGAUGCCCCCCUUUCCUUCAUCUUCGUCUUCAAAGCCCCAAUGCAUAGUCUGUCGAGCAGCAGCAGAUGCCACUCCCUAAUGCAGUGACUUCCACCCUAGGGUAUCUCCAAAUCUGCCAAAGUCUACCACACCGCCUAUGCUGUUGCCUGCGCUGCCUGUUUGGCCGACUCAUACCAGUUACAGUGAGGACCGCCAUGAUGGGAGCAGUGUCAACGACGGCGGUGGCGCUGUUGAUGAUGGCGGCGGCGCCGACGGCGAUGGCGGUUGCGCCGACGACGAUAGUGGCAGUUCUAGUGAUUAUGUUGGUGGCGCGAAGAAUGAUAGUGGUAGCAGCACGACAUCAAACAACGAGGUAAGAAAUUUUAUCUUGGCCUUUUACCUCAUAGCUCCUUACAACACUAUGAAAUUAGAAUAAGUAUAUCUAGAUAGAUAAUUGUUAUUACACGUGUAUUUCCAGGUAUAAUUAGAAGUAAGAAGUUUGAUUUUUGCCCUUUGAAAGAUCUCGACAUCUAUAAUUUGAUAGGAUAAUAGGAUAACAUAAUUUAGGUAUGACCUUAUAUAGAUACAUAAAUAUCUCAUUACGAACAGUCAUUUAAUUUAAUUAAGCAGUUGUAGUAUAGUGUAGAUGAGAAAUGUGGUCAGACGUCUAGAAUGUAUUAAUAUAUUCCACUUUCUAUCUAAAUUUUUUGGAUAUGAUAAGUCACCUUAUGAUCCUGUUUGGAUGCAUGAAUAUUUUGUUCCAUAUAUCCUCUUAGUUUAUUGAAGAAAUUUGUACAAUUGGAUGAUGAGAAGUAUAAUCAAAUAUUCGGUCUUCAAUUUAAUUUUUCAAAAUAAAUAUAGCUGAAAUAUGCUAUCCUAAAAUCAUAGAUAGCAAGACCUUUCGGCAAUGUUUGGAUGCAUGAAUAUUUUGUUUGGUAUGUCUUUAUGAUUUACUCAAGGCCUUGUUUAGAUGCUGAUGUAGGACAAUUUAGGGAGUUUAGAGGUUUUUGAGAAUUGCUUAAAGAUACAGAUCGGGCGAUUCGAAGAAAUCAAACUAAAAAUAAAUAAACGAUAAAUCCGAAAAUUCGAAAACUCAAAUAAGAGAUUAGUUAGGGAAAAUUCACACCUUCAAGUUUCCACAAGGUCGGAUCCAUUGCAUGCAGGGGGCAAGUCAGUUUAACUUUUUUCGAUCAUUGGAUCUUAGCCACUUUGUUAGAACUUCUAGAAUAGUGAAAAAAAGAGUUAGGGUAAGGGUUUAGAAAGGAUGGAAUUAGGAAAUAGAGUAAUAGAAAAUUAGGGUUUAGAAUUAUCUGCAGAAAGAAUAGAGAAAUCGAAGUUAGUUUUUGUGUCAUUUUUGCGCCAAAAAUACUCUAAUGCUCCUCAAACUCAACCAAAAUAAUUUGAAUAAUAUUAGAUGCUAUUUUUCACACUGGAACUUUGUUGUUUGCAAAAGUUUAGUGUACUACACGCCGCCGGCAAGAUGCUUCCGGCUAGCGCGAGGAAGAAGCAUAUCUGGUCGAGACGUAAAUAUGAGGGCCCCAAAUAUACUAUCCUACCAAAUUAUGGAUUUUGAGACCUCUCAAGGAGCAAAUAUCAAAGUCCUAGCUUUCAACGUUGUCUGAAAAUUCUCACGGAAUAAGUUAUCAUCUGAUAUCCAAACAUGGCCAUAGAGGUUAUAGUAAUCAAAUAAUUCUUUUCUCUUUGUGGUAUGGAUUUAAUAUCCGUUAUUAAUCUGAUAUAUUUUUUCUUUAUUUAGAUAAUGCAAGAUAAACUGAUUCCCUUGUAUAACGACUCUCGAGUGGUAUACUGCUUUGCUUGCGGACUCAAAGGAAAGGUAGGAAACGAUAUGUAUCCAUCAAUUCAUUUGAGGACCACAACAAAUUGCAUAGAAAUUUGAAGUAUGAGUGCAAUGAAUGCUAGAAUAAAUUUCAGGCACAAGCGACAUGGAAAUCCAUAAGGAUCUAUACCAUAGGUAGGAAUUCAAUUUUUUUUUUCAAUUGUAUACUCCUCUUACUUUCAGCGAUGUAAAUUCUCUCAUUGAUAUAUCCCUAUCAGCACCUUUAUUGUAGUGAUUGCUUUUAAAUUAGACGAGCAUCUUUUAAGACACUGUAAAUUUGUACAAGAUGUCAUGAUUGGUUGAGUUCGUAUUGAUCCAACAGAAAAAAGAAACAUUAUGAAAGGAUUCAUCUUCCUGGAAAAUAAAUUUAAAAUAGAAAAACUGAAGCUUGGUCAGUAUUAAUGAUUCUCUUGUACGUUUAGAGCUGUAAAUAAGUUGGGCAUGAGGUGAGCUUAUUAAAUUACUUAUAUUAUUUUAUUAUGAAUGAUGUAUGUUAUUUAUUACAUGAAAAUACUGAAAUCAAAUAUUAUUUAAUAAAAUUGUAUAGCUUUUAAAUAUUAUGAUAAAAUUUAAUUAUUAUAUAAUAGUUUACUAUUUAUAUUAUUUUUAUAUGUUUAAAGGCAUAAUAUAAAUAAUAUUUAUAUUUUAAAAAUAAUUUAGAAUUAUCAGCAUUUACUAAUGCUAGAAUCAACAAUAGAAUACCAAUAUUUAUAUAAUAUUACAAAUUAAUUAAUAAUUAUCAAUAUUUAUUAGUACUGCAAAUGAUUAAAAAAUAUAAGUAUUUAAAUAAUGUUUGUAAUAGUUAUGUAUAGUGACAAUAGUUUAAUGUUACUAAUUAUUUAACAUUAAUGAUAAUCUAUUUAAAUACCGAUAGAAGAUUCACCAACAUGAGCAUAAAAACCAUUAAAAUCUUAAUGUCACUAAUAGUUUUUGUAUCAAUUUUUGAACUUUAGGUAGCAAUAAUCAAAUGUCGCUAAAUAACAUUUUUUUUUACUAAUUUUUAUAGGGAUAAAAAUAAAAAGUUGAACUUCGUAGGGAUAUAUCUGUUAUUCUAUAUGUUUACAUGGAGCUGUAUGUAAUUAUUCCUAAAAUAUUUGAUAAAAUUUGGAUGCACUAAUUAUAAAAAUAAAAAGAUGAUAAAAUUUAGGGAUCUCUUUACAAAAGGAUAAAGUUGAUAGGGCUUUAUAUAUUUGGUAUCAACCAGUGUGGCAUCUUCUGAGGCUAAAACAUCGAGCCUUUUACAAUAACACUCAAAACCCACUGUGGUGAAUUCGUGUUCUCCAUUUCAUGGCGAGUUCGGAUUCCGGCGAGACUUGUGGUUCUCUUCAUCCUAAAAACCCAUGCAAUAACAUUUCUUCCCCCACCGAUGCUAUGCCCUACACGUGGGGGAUCCACUCUCAAGAAGCCCUUCCCAUCACAUGUCUCAACAACAGUUGUCCUUUCGUCUCCCAAUGCCCCCGAUGCCGACUGCAAUGUAUUUUACCGCUGGCGUCAGUUCAUAGGAAACCCUUCCCGACGAACCUCUCAACGGAAGUCUCCUCUCCUACCGCCUACUGUUACGUUUUCCAUCGUGGGCGUCCAGCAUCAUGAGAAACCUUCCAAUGGAGAGCUCUCUUGCCUUCUACCGCCGACAUCCUCCACCGCGGCGGCCGAUCUUCAAGAAGUGCUUUUCGAGAAACAUCUCAAUAGAGGGUUCCCGCCGCCAACACCCUCCACCGUGGGAGUGGACCUUCAAGAAGUGCUUUUCAGGGAACAUCUCAAUGGAAGGCUCCCGUCGAAGUCGCCCUCCACCGUAGGGCCCGAACUUCAAAAAGCGCUUCUUGGAACCUUUUAAUAGAGGGCCGCCAACGCUCUCCACCUUGGUGGCCGACCUCCAAAAUGCACUUCCCAACAAAACUUUCAAUGGAGGACCGUCUCGUCCCCUCAACCCACCGCCACUGAUGUCGAAAUCGUCUGCUUCUAGAGUCCACUACCAAGAAGCUCUCCUUCGAGGAUGGUCGGCCAGCCUUCGGAGAUUCCUUGGUGGUUCGUGGACCCUUGCCCUUUUCAGAUGUGGUGAGGCUUUUCUCUCCCCAUUGUAUUAGGGGCCCCUCCUCAAGGGUGGCAAGCCAGCCUUCGAAGAUUCCCUUGCGGUUUAUGGAUUCUCACCCUCAUCCCGAUGCAGUGAAGUCUUUCUUUUCCCAAUGUUCCACCAUGAUACCUCAUCUUUCUUUAUCGUCAUUUUCUCAGCCCCUGCAUGGUUGCCCCAGUAGCAACCUUCCAAUAUGGGGUCUUCCAUACUUGGGCAUCUACCUUCCCGGAGUCUACCAUACCGCAGGUAUUGUUGCCUGUGCUACCCGUCUGGCCGACUCAGGCCAGUUACAGUGAGGAUGACCGCGGUGAAAGCAGUGUCGACGAUGGUGGUGGCAUUGUUAAUGAUGGUGGUGGUGCCGCCAGCAAUGGUGGCAGUGCUGAUGAUGACAGUGGUGCCUACGACAAUAGUGGCAGUGCAGAUGAUGAUGGUGGUGCCAACGACAAUAGUGGCAUCGAUGACGAUGGUGGUAGUUUUAAUAAUGAUGGUGGCGCCGACGAUAAUAGUGGCAGCUCAGAUGAUUACAUUGGUGGCACUGAUGAUGAUAGUGGCAGCAGCAUGGCGUCAAGCGAUGAGAUAAGAAAUUUUAUUUUGGCUUACCUCAUAGCUCCUUACAACACAAUGAAAUCAGAAUAAAUAUAUCUAGAUAGAUUAUUGUUAUUGUACAUGUAUUUCCUGGUAUAAUUAGAAGUAAGAAGUUUGAUUUUUGCCUCUUGAAAGAUCUUGACAACUAUAAUUUGAUAGGAUAAUAGGAUAACAUAAUUUAGAUACGGAUACAUAAAUAUUUUAUUCCAAUUAAGAAGUUGUAAUAUUUUGUAAAUGAAAAUGUGGUCACACGUCCAAAAUGUAAUAACAUAUUCCAUUUUUUAUUGAAUUUUUUUUCAAUAUGAUAAGUCACCUUAUUACCCUAUUUGGGUAAUGAAUAUUUUGUUCCAUAUGUACUCUAAAUUUACUAAAAAAGUUUGUAUGAUUGGACAAUGAGAAGUAUGAUCAAAUAUUUAGAAUUAUGUAUUAUAUUCGGUCUUUAAGUUUAUUUUUCAGAAUAAAAUAGAUCACAUUAUAGCUGAAAUAUGCUAUCCUAAAAUCAUGGAUAGUAAAGCCUUUCGGCAAUGUUUGGGGGCAUGAAUAUCUUGUUUGGUAUAUCUCUAUGAUUUAGUUAAGGCCUUGUUUGGAUACUGAUGUAGAACAGUUUAGGGGAUUUAGGGAUUUUUGAGAAUUGCUUAAAAAUAAGGAUUGUGCGAUUCCAAGAAAUUAAACUAAAAAUAAAUAAAUGAUAAAUCCGAAAAUUCGAAAACUCAAAUAAGAGAUUAGUUAGGGAAAGAUCACACCUUCGAGUUUCUGCAAGGUUGGAUCCAUCGUAUGCAGGGGGGCGAGUCAUUAACUUCUUUCGUUCAUUGCAUCUUAGCUCUUCUAGAAUAGUGGAAAAAAGAGUUAGGGUUAGGGUUUAGAAAGGGAUGGAAUUAGGAAAUAGGAUAAUAAGAAAUUAGGGUUUAGAAUUAUUUGCAAAAAGAAAUAGAGAGAUCGAAGGAUUCAACGACGGCUCGUUUCCACGAAGCGGGCUUGGAUCGCAAUCUCGUUAGAUGGUUGUUGCGGCAACGACGAGUCAAGUUCUUCCUUGAGAUGUGAAUCGACUCCUGAGUUGACCCUUGAGUGCUCCACUUACGGAUCAAUGACUCGGUUGAGAAGGGAUCGGUUCAAUCCGGUUCUUAUGGGACUAUUCACAAUUGUUCCAAAUACAAGCUCGGCUGAAUGAGCAAAGUGGUUUGUAUUUAUCAGGAAAAUAGGAAUAUAAGUGCUGUUACAGAGACGAAUCUACUCUUAGGAACACUACCCUACUACGUUUUUAACUAAGCUCUUGAAAAGAAAAUUAACAGAAAAUUAUAUGAAAAUUAACUUCUAGGAAAACUAUAAAUGACGAAAAAAUAAAAUAAAAUUUGAUGUGGUCUCUUACUCGUGUGAAGGACUCAUCUUACAUGCGUGUUUUUUUUUAUUUAUAAUCCCACUUGUCGUUAUCGGGUUAAUCCAAUCGUGGAGGUUUCUUUGGCCACGUUCCUUGUCACGCCUCGAGCCCGGUCCUAUUUGGCCGGUUCGAGCACGUCGAAUAGACGCCGAACGAACAGAGCCUCCCCUGUCCGCCCUAGGCUCAACAACAAGUACAAGUAGACUAUAAAAUUUGCACAUGAGGAAGCAUACAUAAUGACUUACACGAGGGCAAGUAAUAGCCAAAAUGAGAGUACUAUCUAAACAUCAUACAAGUAAUAUGAUUAACUUUAAAUCACAUACAUGCAUUCAAAUUAUAAGUUUUAUUACAUUCUUUGCAUCAUUUCUUCUCUUUACAUCACAUGAUAACCCAAAGUAAAUCUCUUUGCAUUAAAAUAUAAUUCCUUUUACAUCAUUCAUAUUCUUCCAUUAAAACAUCUAUUGUCAUCAAAAUACAAAAGAUGAUGUAAUAGGGUAUGCAACUAGACCAAAAUAUGAAACCAACUUGGGUGGUCUCUAGCUAUGGCGCGAUACCUUUACCGCGAUCAUCUGCCGGCUCGUUCGGUCCCGGCUCUAUGAAAAUAGUAGGGUGAGAACUACAACAAAGUUCCCAGUGGGUUCGGUAACCGACCUCGCCGACUUUCCCACUAGAUCUAAAUCAGGCAUACUAGAAGAAAGAAUAGAUAGUAACCAACUAAUAAAUGCAGCUAAUAUGCCUGAACAAUAUAUAGUCAAUCAUAUGGUCAAUGAAAUGCUCAUGAUGAAUGCAAGUUUGCUUUACACUGUUCAAUCUCGUGGCUAACCCCUCGGGCCCUAAGCCUCCUCCCGCCGGGUUCCAUAACUUACCAACACAAGUCCCUAAUUGCGGGCCCUAAGCUUCCUCCCGCUAGGACUGUCCUCUGGGGGUUCCACAUCCCAGUGAUGACAACUCCGGAGCUCAUUGCUCGAGAGGGAGCGACCUUCCUCAAGCCAAGACUAUAGGCAAGUAUAAUCAAUCCUUAUCUUUAAGGAUACCAAUGCUCAUGUGACCCUUAACUUUAAGGUUUCUAUGUCACAAUGUCACAAUUUCUAUUUAUUUGCAUUCUUUAUCUUUCACUAGUGUCAUAUAUACUACCAUGUUCUUUGUACUCAUCCACUAAUGCCACACUUGUUCUCUGAGUGUUCAACUCUAGCAUUCUUGUCCCAUUAAUGUCACUAUCGUAACACUAGUAUUCAAAACUAUUUAAUGCCACUCUCUACAUUUAUGUCCACAUGUAACUUUUGUUAUCUACAUCAACUAGGUUCUUAAUAGGAUUACACAAGUUCCAACUCUUUUAAAAUCAUUUCUCGUGCAUUUGUACUCACAACAUGCAAAUAAAAGCUCUCAAUUAACCCUAUCAUGCACAAUGCUCAAUAUACACUUAUGCUAAAAAAUGAUACUUUAGACAUAAAAGGAAAUUUAACGUUUUCGGAAUGCACCACCCACCUUAUAUGGUUAUAAGGGUGCUACGGUUCAAUUCUUGAAAAUUUUUGGCGCAUAUUCCGCGUGCUGCGGCUAUCUGUACCAAAAAUGACGUUUUUGUCAAUAUCUUUAUUUAGACCUUUUCGUUUCGUCAAACCGAGCGCUCCAACGCAUCGAAAAUAUCCCUAAUUAAGUUUCCACAAGAUCAAUUUGCCUCGAAAAUGAUCGAAAGUAAAAGCCCCAAAUUUGGUGCCCUAAUAAUGCCAUAUAUAGAUUUUCCUUAGAUUGAUCUUGCAACUAAGCAAAUACUAGCUUAGAAUCAUCUAGGAAGCUCUCUAAUACCAUCUCUAACUCAUUUGAACCAUUCCUAGGGCAUCUAGAACUAACCUUAGAAGUUCACCAUUAGAGCACUUUGAAGAAACCAUAGAUUUCAUGUUUUUCAAGGUCUCUACGAAGCUUCUAGCUUUGUAAGAAGAUCAAAACUCUAUGAUUAAGGGAAUAAAUCCAAACCCUAGAAGUGUUCUUGCAUAAACUCACCUUAGCCCAAAGCACUCCCAAGGUUCACCUUGUAAAAGAGCUCCUUGACCUUCUAAACCUCCAAUCCUUCCUUGAACCUCCUCCAAUCCUUCCCCUCCUUGCUCUAGGGAAUGGUCACUAGAGAGAGAAAGAGAGAAAUGAGGGAGAGAGGGUGAGGUUGCUAUGUAAACAGGGGGAAAGAGGUGAGUUGGGUUAUUUAUAGGUUGUAACAUUAGCAACCAAGCCCUCCCAAAAACCUAUAUUUGCAGUAGACUAAAUCUUUGUUGCCAGACCAAAAUGUACCGGUACACAUGACUCUGUCACCGGUGCACCUUCGCGCAGAGGCAAACCCGAAAGCAGCCCUCUCGGGUUCGCAGCAUUUGUACCGGUACAAACCAUUUUGUACCGGUACACUUCCUGCCUUUCUCAAACCCGAGAGCUAUCUCCCCUCGGUCUGCUGUAUUGUACCGGUACAACAUUAGUGUUGUACCGGUACAAAACGUUCAGAAUGCAGUUUUUGCACUUGUUCGACUUCUCUUCGCGCUGAGCAAUGCUAAAACCCUUCUGACUCUUCUAGAACUCACUUUUAACUCUUCCAAACUUGCUGGAAUGUUAAAUAGAACUUGUCCAAUUAAUUCCUUUGGACACUUUUGUAAUGCACUGGACUUUUGCAAAUUGCGAGGUUUGAGUGAUUGGAUGUGUUCUGAGUUUUUCCAGACUUUCUGGUGGGUCGUUGACAGUGUUCCGACCUAUGGCUCGUAUCCUGAGAAGUGAGAUUUAAAGCUUAGCACCAAAACCCGAAAAAACGGAUUUUUGGUUAAGCUCUCGGGUAGCCUUCAGUGGUCUGUGUACCGAUACAGGGUGAUGGCUAUACCAGUACAGCCAUCAACAUUGGCUGCUUCUCAGCCAACCUGAGGCUCGGGUUUGGCUAUUUCGUGGGAUGUGUACCGGUACGCGAGCCCGUGUACUGGUACGCAGUGGCAAUUUUGAGCAGUUUGAACUGCAGGGGUGUUUUUGCUAUUGUAGCAUCUCUAUAAUACCACCCACGCCUCUUUGCUGGUCUCCUAAGCUGGGAAACACAGAAGGACAAGGUGGGGAGCCCUUCUCUUCUCCUCUUUUGAUUUCCUUCCCUUUUUGCUUGAAUUUUGAAGGUUUAAUCCCUCUCUUUUUCCCUCUUGGUGCAUUUCCACCUUGGGAGAAGCUUGGGAGCUUGGAGUUGAGCUUGUUGGAGGUGUGAUCUUCGACCCUUGUGGGUUUUGAACCUUGUUUGAGGCUUCAUGAGAGGUUAGUUGCUUACUAUUUUUCUUUCUAUCAUGAUUUUCAUGAUUUUUGUAUACAAACCCUAGAAAUGAGGAUUUAGGGUUUGUUUUGGAAAUUUUUGAUCUAGGGCUUUUGGAGCUCAAUCGAUUGGUUUAGAACCUUCCCCUAGGUUGGUUUGGCAGGGAUCUAGCUCCCAUUUGGAGCUUGAAAGGGAUUUUCUACACUUAGAUAAGAUUGUGCCCCUAUCUUGAGUUUGUUAUUGUUUUGAGCUUGUUGUUGUUCGUUUCGUUUGGGUGACACCUCUAGUUUAACCUUUAGGGAGCUAGGAGGCUUGUGGGCAUCUCGCUUCGGCGAAACGAAGGAUUUCAAGAAGACUUGCUGGGUUUGGCCGCACCAAAAUGAGAUAAAAUUCUCAUAUUAUGGUUUUUAUUUAUCGUAAAGUGAAAAUGCAUGUAUAUUCUUACUAGAUAGAAUAUUUGAGAAUUUUAGAAUACUUAAAAUGCACAUGUUAUAUACAAUACAUAUUUGACCUUUAUGUAGUAGAGAGUUUUCAUGUUGGGCUAGGGGCCUACGGUUAGCAUUCUCAUACUUGAUUGUGGUUCACGUUUCAAUUAGUGAAAUUGAUGAGUGUAUUGCAUUUUGGACUAAAUAUGGAUUUAGCAAGCAAAUGUUAUAAAAGGGCAUUAAGUUUGGUAUAUAUAUAUGGACUUAUUAAACUUAUUGUCAUAAUGGGACAUUAGACUUGAAUGAUAAGUGAUUUGCAUGUGCAUGUUAAUAUUAUGAGAGUUAUGUAAGCGGGUAGUCGCAUUGGAAAGUGCAUGCAUGUAGCAUUAUGAGAACUAUGCUAAGUUGACUGUUGCACGUAUUAACCUAUUAUUGAUAGGAUAAGCUAGUGUCAUAAAGUGGCAUUAGGCUUGGAACAUGUGUGAAUCUAAUAAGGUAGUGCCAUAAAAAGGCAUAGAAUGCAAAGUGUGCUUAGAGUAUAGCAAUGUUUAAGUGUCAUAAAGAGGCACUAAACAUAGUGAAUGUUGGAACUUCACCCUGAGACUUGGACUUCGUAAAGCUAAGGUCAUCGACAUAGAAAUUAUUGAACGGUUAAACCUUCACAUUGAGACAUAAUACUAAACCUUUGGGUUGCUAGUGACUGUUACCAUGUUAGAGACAUGAUGAUUGGGUACUUGAGACAGAUCAUGCUUGCUUGCCAUUUGUGCUCAUUCGCACAUGCUUGUACGAGUCGCUCCCUACAAGCCGGCACUUCGGAGUUAGGCUACGCGACUUAUGUUCGCUUGUGCGGUAUCGAGUAGCCUACGGGGCCUGGAGGGAUAGACUCAUUCCUAGAGUGGGAAUGCUGGAGCUACCACUGGCACUUAGGCGGCACAAGCCAGACCUCACCUGUGUAGGUCCUAACUGAGAUUGAACCAGAAUAUUAAACAACAAGUUGAUAAUCACUACUAGACAGGUCAUAGUAGUUGGAUUCCUUGACAUGCUACGGCAUAGGGUUGGACAUUGAGAUACAUAGUGUACUUGACGGUAUCGCUUAUGGCAGUAGUAUACUUGGUUGCCAUGAUAGUACAUACUAGAUAUGUAGUUGGCUUUAGGACAUAUAUCAUACUUCAUUGUAUUACUUGUUGCAUCAUAGCAUACUUGUUUAAGUAUUGGCAUACUGGAUCAUGUAGAGUAGAUGUACUCCAUGUUGACAUUCUACAUACUUGUGGCACAGUAGAGUAGCAUCUUUUUAUUAUGCUUCAUUUACCGCAGUUAAUUUCUGUUAUCUUUAUCUGCUCUAUUUUGGGCCUAGUGGUGCAGUUGGUGCAGGUCAGUAAUUGCCCACUGGGAACUAUAAAUUAUAGUUCUCAUGCCCCCUGUUUUAUGUUUUCUUUCAGAGCCUUCCACUUCGGGAGGGGCUCGGGAUCGUGGGAAAGGUUUCGCCUCGAGCUAGCUAUCGAGGGAUUUGGCGAUAGGUGGUCUAUCUCUCUUCUGUUUUCUCUUGGAGAGGUUGUGAGAGUUUUGUACCUUGUUAUUGAGACCACCCUACUUUUGUAUCUUGAGAGUCAUGAUGUAUUAGUUUACUUUAUGCUUUAGUAGUAUUGUUUUCUUUUGACUCUACCUGAUGUUAGAACCUAGCUGUGUAUUUGUUCUGAUAUCUCUAGAUACUUUCAACUUCUUGCUCAUUUAUUCGUUUUGUUGUAGACGCCUUAUAUGUGCAGGCAUAUGGCAGGUCUCGGCAUGUGCCGGGCGGGCCUACGCUGGGUCUCGGGGCGUGACAACUUUAGUCAAUUUGGCUAAAGUCCAGAUUACUUUACUGUAGUUUCGGUAUGUUACAUUCCUAUUUUCCUGGGUUAUGCUUUGGUCGAUCUUUUGCUAGCCACGAACCUCUUCGUCUAUGUUGUUAACUGCACUCAGCCUAAACGGCACUUCCGUUUUAGGCAUGCUUCUCUCAGCUCUGAGUGUAUUACGUAUCGCUUUAUAUUUUGCUCCGGUCACUUUGUUAUUGCAGCUCGAACUGCUCUACCACGUGGCGCUAAUUUUAUGGUGCCAACAAUGCCCCCCUCCCCGGGAGUCUCUCGAGCAACCGUUUCAGGCAACUGACGUUUGCUCUUAUCAGCGACCGAGAUCAAACAUCGUGGUUUCAAUAGUUGAGAUUCACCACCCCGAGCAGUCAUAUCACUUUUCCCAUCUAACAGCCUGGAAUAGUCGUGCCUUUGGUCAUUCGUACUUAAUUUCGUCCUUCAACGCUUAUAAUUUUCUGCGCUCUUUCGUCUUACUUAGGACAUUAAUUGGGGCAUUUGAUGGCUCUAUGAUAUUUCUGUUAUCAAUUUUCUUUUCACUUUUUCUGAAGUUUUGAUUACAAAUUUGAUAUUGAAGUAUAGUCUCACUAGUAGUGUAUUCCGAUAACGGAAAGAACCACAAGAUUUGGAGGUCACCUCGAUUUUAUUCCUUCCAACUUUUUGUUAUUUUAAGAGUGAUUUUACUUGAUUGGUUGAAUGAAAGUCCAACUGAAACUGAGACUGCAAUUCUUAUUACACUAUUUUUCAUGCACACGAAAAAUUAGUUGUAUACCUACUGUUGUUUGGAUUGACAUGAAUUUUUUUUUAUUAAUAGUCUUAAAAAAUAUUAUAAUUAUAAAAAUAGUCCUAAAAAAAUCUUAUUUAUAAAACUAAAACUAUUUGGUGAAUGAAUUGCCGAUUUUUAAAUAUGAUAAAUAAUUCACCGUUUUCUUGAAAGGAUUAAAGCUAUUUUUAGUAUUUAAUAUUAUACAUUUUUGAAGUUUGGAUGUAGAAAAUAUAUAAAUUAGGAUACAAGCGGUGAAUUCACCGCUUUUAGAAAGUUGUAAAUAAUUCACUGCUUUUAUCGCCUUAUUUUUAUAAAUAAAAAUGUUGAAUAUCUAUUUUUAUAUAAAAGGCUUUAUAGGCUUCGUAGGCCAAAAACUCCGAUUGACAUGUAUCUGCGAGUUAGUUGUAUUUCUGAUUUUUUAAUUGUGCUUCAUUUUAGUGUGCUACUUUGAUUUGCAAUAAUGCUUGCUGAGAGAAUUACAUUGCUUGAAUUUUUUUGUUUAUUAAAAUGCUAAGUUUACAGAGAUCUCCCAACUAAAACCAUUCUAAAAUAGCCCAUUCAACUAUUUUUUUGAUUUAAUCCCUCGACUUCUAAAUUUUUAGAAUUGGAUGGUUUCUUUCCAAAUAAUUUGAAAAUUUCAUCAAAUUCAUUUGUGACUCUCCAAAUUUAAUUAUUUGAGUCAUUUGUUGAAAAAUAAAAUUUGGUUAAUUAAUGGUUUGUUAAUAAGAGAGUUAUUAUUGACAAAGGUUUGUUAAUAAGAGAGUUAUUAUUGACAAAAUUUUUAAUCUAAGUAUAGAACUUAAACGAAAAAAAAAGAGAUUGAGAGUUGUCCGUCAAAAAAAAAAAAAAAGUCGAGACGACUAAAAUUAUUAAAUUUGGAAUGUACCAGCAACGUUGCAUCUUUAGAAAACUCUUAAAAUUUUUUUGAGAAAUAAAAAAAAUACUUAUUUUAUUUAAAAUUUUAAAAUAAAAAAACUCUUAAAAUUUUAAAAUAUAUUUCUCGACUAAUCAGAAGAUAUUAUAUUUUACUUAAAAUACUUAUUUUACCCUUAUUUGUAUUAUCCCCAUAUAAAAUUAUCACUCAAAGAUAUUCUAUAACUGAUCAAAGAAAUCAAAACAGAUCAAAUGAUCACAGUUUAUUAUUGAAAAGCGCAAAAAUUUAAUUAUACCAUCAAAAUUGAUCGUUGUUGUCGAUCAUAAUUAGGGUCAAAAUAGUAAAUCCAACUACUAUGCUUUUAGGAGGACAGAGGUUUUCGUCCUCCUAAGUAGUUUUAAACGAUAGAGAUUUCAAAUCGAUGAUCGAAACUAUUAGGGUGUGUUUGGUUCGAAGUCGGAAUCGAAAUCGGAAUCGGAAUCAAAAUAAGCUAGAAUCGGAAUCGGAAUGACUCAUUAUCUAAUUUUGUUUGGUUCAUCACCUGAAUCGGAAUCGGAAUAAAUCAUUCUCAUUGUCGGUGUUUGGUUCAGGUGGAUAUAAAAAAUGUAAUCAAAUUAAUAUACUAACAUUAUCUUUAUAAUAUAUUAAUUUAAAUUUAAAAUAAAAAUUAAAUAUUAAAAAUUUACAUCAAAAUUUUGAAAUAAUGUCAAAAUUUUAUAUC